RNAcentral lists this long non-coding RNA (70441 nucleotides) under Coffea arabica (coffee). RNAcentral's name for it is "long non-coding RNA (CARA_LNC000103)". Lineage: Eukaryota; Viridiplantae; Streptophyta; Magnoliopsida; Gentianales; Rubiaceae. The record is from RNAcentral.
CUUCUUCUCCUUUGGGUUCUUGUUUAGCUGCAGUUUUUGUUGCUUCAACAUCUGUGAUUGUAAUAACAAUGUCUUCAUUAUUUGUAUUUGACAUCUAACGCCAAAAAAAAGAACAUUGUUAAAGACAUAAAGUAUUUACUAACACAAAUAAGAGGAAUAGAAAAGUGAUCCUUGCAUAAAAAAUGUUACUAUGCAAAUACAACAAAUUCAUACCUCAGAAUUUUUAGUUUUGAUUUCUAAGAAAGUGUUUCGAAUAUACAUAGCAGUCAAAAAAUUGACAGGAUAAUUUUUUCCUUGAUUGAGAAAUGAAAAAUAAUCAAUGAGCAAGUUUAAGUUAAAAUAAAAUUACUAAUUGGAUAUCCAACCCAAUUCAUUGUAAAAAAGUUGAUUAUCAAACAAACUCAUUGUAUAAGUUUAUCAAGAAUAACUCAGGAUCAACUCUUCAUCGAUGAUUUGUUCUUUUAUGCCUUUUUUGGUCAUUAUUAGAAUUGAAGAUUUUCUGGCUGAAAUUCUUUCAAGGCUGUAGCUGCUAACAUUAAGAUUACUCUUUAUUUCCAUGGAAAAAAUUGGUAGUUCUCUACAAAAAGUAACAUUGAUUUUCAUUGGAACUUGUUAAGUGGCUAAUCGUGCAUAUAAUUGGUACAUAUUAUCCCCUUUGUUUUGCUAAAAUAUGGCAUUAAUGGAUCUAUUUCACUCAUAUUUGAAUUUUGGUAUUAUUUUUAGGAAUUGUUGAUGAGAAUGGAGUAAAAAGGGCAUUAAAGCUGAAUUUUAGAAGACUGCACUCUAUAAGACGUGGGCACGUGAGAAAACCAAGUGACAGACGGAAUCCACGGAGUUGCACUUGCCGUGUCUUUGAUUGCUACAUUAGCCACAAAUUGGAAGUGCUGAUCAAUUGGAACGAAAUCUUUGUUUCUUGAUUGAGAUAAACCCUGUUAAUUAGUAUUUUAGGGAAAAACAUUUGAUUUUCUUUUUAUUAGUACUAUACUUAUUAGAAUUAGAGUCCAAAGAGGACUCUCCUUUUUGGUGAAAGGAAACGUAGGAGUAUAAGAAUGAAACAAAGCCUUCGGCUGAGGGGGCGCUCUCGAAUCCUUUUUCUCCUUUUUCCUCUUGACAGACUAUAAACGCUAGUAUUUUGUCGCCGCGAAUUCACCAUGAGGAGCGGCUAAUUUCUUUUCUAGUUGAAGGAUAAUUGAAGCUUUGGUUCGACAAUUCUGUGAGAUCUAAUUUGAUUUAUUUGCUUCAUCUAUUUCUGAGUAUUUACAUAUUCCCUGUCAUCCAUGUUUAUGAUUAUUUUCUACAGUUAAAUACCUGAUCAAUAUUUAAUUGUUGAAAUAGUCUAUUGCCAUCUAAAAUAUCAAAUCCGUAAUUGUUUGGUGGUUUUAGUAUCUGUGGCGCGUGAUGUAAUUUGAUUGUAAAAGAAACUUUCGAAUCUAUGUCACGGGAAUAUAUAACCUAGCUUAAAUGAACCGAGCUUGUGUGCUUGUUGGUUAGAAUUGGUAGCUUCUCUAAUUAUUAAUGCUGUCAAUAGGUUAAAUCCUAAGAGCUUGUUUAGGGUUGCUUAAUUGGCAAGAGAAAUAGCCACAGAGCGUGUUGUGGUUAUCGAAGCAGUAAGGCGAGGCAGGUUGUCAGAGCGUGUUGACGACCAUAACCCGUUUAUUCAUGAAUAAGUGAUUUCACCUUUGCAUCGAUGAUCAAUUAAAUGAACCAAAGUGGAGAUUAGACCUUCGACUAGAGUGUUGCCUUUUCUUGAUUUAGUUUUAUUUAAUUUUGUGAUACUGUCUUUAUUUUUAUUCAAGUAAGCUAUUUGGUUAAUUUCUCCUAAUCCCCCAUUUUUCACAAAGAAAUAAAUCACUCAGUCCCUGUGAAUAUGACCCUACUCACUGCUAUGCUCGAAUUCAAAUUUUAGAGUAGGAACUUUUAUUUUUGCUGAUUUGACACGCCAACAAAUUUUGGCGCCGUUGCUGGGGACUUGGUGUCAAAAUAAAUUUAUUUCCUUUGAAUUUUAUUUUCUUUGUUUAUUUUUUAUUUUUAUUGUUACUGGUUUAUGCCUAAAUCUUCUCGUACAGGUGAGUUACAAUAUAAUCCUGAGAUAGAGAAGACUGCUCGUGCAUUGAGAAAAGCAACAAGAGAACGAGCAGAGGCAUCCUCCGCCUCUACUGGACAUAAUUCAAUAGUAGAUUUUGUGGAUUCAUUUAGUGAGACGGAAGAGAUAAAUAGCACCAUGGCUAAUGAACGAACAUUGAGAGAAUUGGCUGCAACAGAUUUAAAUCACUAGCCUCUCUGCAUUACUUAUCCUACAUUAGAGGUUGCAUUUGAGUUAAAAUCUAGACUAAUUCAUUUACUUCCUUCUUUUCAUGGCUUACCAGGUGAAGAUCCCCACAAGCAUCUCAAAGAAUUUCAUGUGGUUUGCUCGACAAUGAAACCCCAGGGAGUCACAGAGGAGCAAAUUAAAUUAAGAGCCUUUCCAUUUUCAUUAGCCGAUAAAGCUAAGGAUUGGCUCUAUUAUUUGCCCUCUGGGUCAAUAUCCACAUGGACAGACAUGAAGAAGUAUUUCCUAGAAAAAUUCUUUCCUGCAUCCCGAGCUACAAGCAUUAGGAAAGACAUCUGUGAAAUUCGACAAUUCAAUGGAGAAACUCUACAUGAAUAUUGGGAAAGAUUCAAGCAAUUAUGUGCUAGUUGUCCUCAUCAUCAAAUUCCUGACCAACUUCUCAUCCAGUAUUUUUAUGAGGGUCUGUCCCAAACUGACAGAAGAAUUAUUGAUGCUGCCAGUGGGGGCUCCUUAGUGAAUAAAACACCCACGGAGGCAAGAAGUUUGAUAUCGAGUAUGGCUGCAAAUGCUCAACAAUUUGGAGACAGGCAGGAUAACACAACUCGUAGAGUCAACGAGGUAAGUAAUUCUUCAAUAGAGCAAAGAUUAGAUAGUCUAACUUCUUUGGUUGAAAAGUUAGCUGUAGGACAAAUGCAGCAAUUGAAAACAUGAGGAAUCUGCUAUGGUUCGAGUCAUCCAACAGAUAUGUGCCCCACACUCCAAGAUGAUUCGACUGAGCAGGCUAAUGCAGUUGGAUUUCCAGGACCGCCUCAGAGGCGGUAUGAUCCCUAUGCAAACACCUAUAAUCCAGGAUGGAGGGAUCAUCCUAAUUUUAGUUAUGCAACAAGGCCACUAGGAUUUCAACAACAGCCACAAUAUCAACCUAGACCUCAACCUGCACAGCAACAAUCUGCUCCUAAAUCAGGUAUGUCACUUGAGGAUAUUGUGAAAUCUUUGGCUACUAACACUCAACAAUUUCAACAGGAGAUGAAAACUAGCAUUCACAAUUUGGAGAAUCAAAUGAGCCAGUUAGCUUCCACAGUCAAUAGAUUGGAGUCUCAAUUAUCGGGAAAGCUACCCUCGCAGACAAUUGUCAACCCCAAGCAAAAUGCCAGUGCCAUCACAUUAAGAAGUGGCAAAGAGUUGCCUGAGCCGAGCAAGAGAAUUUCUGAACAAGCAAUUGAGGAAGAGCUCGAAAAGGAGGGGAAUGUGUCUCAACCUAGGGCCUUGGAACAACCAGAUUUUGGAGAAAAAUCAACGCAAGUGGUUACACCUCUGCCUCCAUUUCCUAGUCGACUGGCAAAGUCCAAAAAGCAAGAGCAAGAACAGGAGAUUUUGGACACUUUUCGAAAAGUUGAGGUAAAUAUCCCUCUUUUAGAUGCAAUUAAGCAAAUUCCUAGAUAUGCUAAAUUUUUGAAGGAGUUAUGCACUGGUAAAAAAAAAUUGAAAGGAAACGAGAAAGUGCAUAUGGGAGAAAACGUCUCGGCAGUUUUGCAGAAAAAAUUGCCUCCUAAAUGCAAGGACCCGGGUAUGUUUACUGUCCCUUGCAAAAUAGACAAUAUUAAAAUUGAAAAAGCUAUGUUGGAUUUGGGUGUUUCGAUAAAUGUUAUGCCUCGUUCUAUUUAUAAUUUGAUGAACGUUGGGCCUUUAAAAGAGACGGGCGUAAUAAUUCAGCUGGCUGAUCGAUCAAAUGCCUAUUCUGAUGGAGUUUUGGAGGAUAUUUUAGUGCAAAUUGAUAAUUUGAUUUUUCCUGCAGAUUUUUAUGUGCUUGAUAUGGAGGAUGAUAAUUCUAAUUCAUCUCCAAUACUGUUAAGAAGACCAUUUUUGAAAACUGCUAGAACAAAAAUUGAUGUUUUCACUGGCACAUUGACUAUGGAAUUUGAUGGUGAUGUUAUUAAAUUUAGUAUUUAUGAUGCCAUGAAAUAUCCUGGUGAAUCUCAUUCAGUUUUUGUUAUAGAUGUAAUUGAUUCUUUGGUGCAGCAAAAUUUUGAAUUUAAUAAUGAUGAUGCGUUGAAGGUUGCUAUUUCUACUGGUCUCUGUCAGGAAAAUUUGCAAAAGAUAAAAGGGAAGUUUGUUUUUCCUUUUGAAUUGCAGGAAGUUAUUUUUGAAUUGAAUUCUCUUUAUCCAGAAUUUUCCAAUGUGUCUUACUUGGAAUUACCUCUGUCUCAUUCGCAGCUUUUGUCAUCUAUUGUGCAACCCCGAAGGUGGAAUUAAAGCAGUUACCGGAUAAUUUAAAGUAUGCAUUCUUGGGAGAUGGAGAUACACUCCCAGUAAUAAUUUCUAGUAAAUUGACUGCUUUAGAGGAAGAAAAACUAAUUCGGGUGUUAAAGGACCACAAGGAGGCAAUAGGAUGGACAGUGGCUGACAAAAAAGGAUUAAGUCCAGCCACUUGUAUGCAUCGCAUCUUGUUAGAAGAUGGUGCUAAGCCUUCGAGAGAGGCUCAAAGGAGAUUGAACCCACCAAUGAUGGAGGUAGUGAAGAAAGAAGUUUUAAAACUUCUUGACACAGGUAUAAUCUAUCCCAUUUCAGAUAGUAAGUGGGUAAGUCCUGUUCAAGUAGUUCCUAAAAAGACAGGAAUUACUGUUAUUGAAAAUCCUAAAGGUGAGUUAGUGCCCACUCGAGUUCAAAAUGGGUGGAGAGUUUGUACCGAUUUUAGAAAAUUAAAUGCAUUAACUCGUAAAGAUCAUUUUCCAUUGCCUUUUAUUGAUCAGAUGUUGGAAAGAUUGGCAGGAAAAUCUCAUUAUUGCUGUCUUGAUGGUUUUUCAGGUUUUCUACAAAUUCCAAUGGCGCCUGAAGAUCAAGAGAAAACCACAUUUACUUGCCCUUUUGGUACAUUUGCCUAUAGACGAAUGCCUUUUGGUCUUUGUAAUGCGCCUGCUACAUUCCAAAGGUGUAUGGUUAGUAUAUUUUCUGAUUAUGUGGAGAAAUAUCAUAGAAGUGUUUAUGGAUGAUUUUACUGUCUAUGGUAAUUCUUUUGAUGAAUGUUUAACUAACCUCACAAAAAUUCUUAAAAGGUGCAUUGAGACUAAUCUUGUCUUAAAUUAUGAAAAAUACCAUUUUAUGGUAGACCAAGGCAUAAUUUUAGGCCAUGUGGUAUCUGCUAAAGGAAUUGAGGUAGAUAAGGCUAAGGUAGAAAUUAUCAAAUGUUUACAUUACCCCGCAAGUGUGCGAGAAGUUCGCUCUUUUCUUGGCCAUGCAGGUUUUUAUAGGCGUUUCAUCAAAGAUUUUUCAAAAAUAUCCCAUCCUCUAUGCAAAUUACUUCAAAAGGAUGUGGUAUUUCAUUUUGAUGAUAAUUGCAAGAGUGCAUUUGACACACUCAAGGGAUCAUUGACUUCAGCACCAGUGGUUCGACCACCAAACUGGAGUCUUCCUUUCGAGAUAAUGUGUGAUGCCAGCAAUUUUGCUGUUGGUGCAGUACUCGGCCAGAAAGAUGGCAGAGCUUCUUAUGUCAUUUAUUAUGCCUCGAGGACCUUGGACGGUGCCCAGUGCAAUUAUUCGACUACAGAAAAUGAGCUUUUAGCUAUUGUUUUUGCUUUAGAAAAAUUCCGUUCUUAUUUACUUGGCACUAAAGUCAUUAUUUAUUCUGACAAUGCAACUUUGAAAUAUUUGCUCAACAAGAAAGAGGCCAAACCACGACUUAUAAGGUGGAUUCUCCUACUCCAAGAAUUUGAUCUGGAAAUUAAAGACAAAAGGGAUGCUGAAAAUAUGGUUGCUGAUCACCUCAGUCGUUUGAUCAAUAGUGAAGGACCUGCUCCCUUGAAGGAUAAUUUUUCAGAUGAGCAUCUUUUUGUAGUUCAAAAGACAACUCCCUGGUAUGCUGAUUUAGUGAAUUAUCUUGUUAUUAGAACGCUACCUAAUGAUUUGUCUAAAGCUCAAAAGGAAAAAAUUAAAAGUGAUGCUAAAUAUUAUGUGUGGGAUGAACCAUACUUGUGGAAAUAUUGUUCUGACCAAAUUAUUCGCAGGUGUGUGUCUGAAGAAGAGGUUCCAUCAAUUUUAUCUUUUUGUCACUCAUAUGCGUGUGGUGGACAUUUUGGCCCUAAGCGAACUGCAAGAAAGGUUUUAGAGUGUGGUUUAUUUUGGCCAACUUUGUUUAGUGAUGCAUACUUAUUUUGUAAAUCAUGUGCAAAUUGUCAAAAGACAGGUAAUUUAAGCCAUAGAGAUCAAAUGCCUCUUACUCCUAUACUGGUUUGUGAAAUUUUCGAUAUAUGGGGUAUAGAUUUUAUGGGUCCAUUUCCUUCAUCUUUUGGUAAUAUGUAUAUAUUACUUGCAGUUGAUUAUGUCUCAAAGUGGAUAGAGGCUAAGGCAACUAGGACUGACAAUGCUAAGGUUGUAGUUGAUUUUAUUAAAUCUCAUAUUUUUAUCAGGUAUGGCACGCCAAGAGCAAUUAUCAAUGACCGAGGGACACACUUCUGCAAUCGAGUAAUGGAAGCAUUAAUGAAGAAAUAUGGCGUCACUCACCGGGUUUCUACGUCCUAUCAUCCGCAGACUAGUGGUCAAGCAGAAAUCUCCAAUAAAGAAAUCAAGUCGAUACUUGAAAAGACGGUGAAUCCCAAUAGAAAGGAUUGGAGUUUGCGCUUAGAUGAUGCACUUUGGGCAUACCGUACAGCUUUUAAGACCCCCAUAGGUAUGUCUCCUUACCGAUUAAUUUUUGGCAAACCUUGUCAUCUACCUGUGGAAUUGGAACAUAGGGCAUAUUGGGCAGUUAAAAAUUACAAUAUGCGGAUGAAUGAAGUUGGAGAACACAGGAAGUUGCAAUUGCAAAAGUUGGAGGAAAUCCGAAAUGAUGCAUAUGAGAGUUCUCCCAUUUAUAAGGAAAAGGCAAAAGCAUUUCAUGAUAAAGCAAUUUCAAGGAAAAUUUUUUAUAUUGGUCAAAAAGUACUUCUUUUUCACUCUAGACUUAAACUUUUUCCUGAUAAAUUGCGGUCACGAUGGAUAGGGCCUUUUAUUCUCACUAAUGUUUUUCCUCAUGGUGCAGUGGAAAUUCUAAGUCCAAAAACCGACAAGGUUUUCAAGGUCAAUGGCCAUCGUCUAAAACCUUUUUAUGAAGGAUUUCAGGCAUAUACCAUCGAGGAGUUGGCUCUCGAAGAGCCUACUUAUUCUGAUUGAAGUAUAAUUUUGUCUAGCCAAAGACAUUAAAGAAAGGCGCUACUUGGAAGGCACUCCGAGAGUUUCAAUUUUUUUUUAGUCAUUUUAUUUAUUUAUUUAUUUAUUAUUCUUCUUCUUUUUUUUGUUUCGUAUUUUUGUGUUAAAGGUGAGUUUAUUUUGGUUCCUAUUGACCGAAACUUUUUGUUGUAGGUAAACUCUUAGGCAGAAGACCUUUUGUUAUAAGGCGUGCCCACGCUUUAUGCUAAAGGCAGACCGUUGAUUUUCAAGACCUUUUGUUAUAAGGCGUGCCCACGCCCUAUGUUUGGAGUGCACUAUGGACUUUCAAGUUGGAUGGGUAGAAGAGUUUUUGUUAUAAAGCGUGACCAUGCCUUGUAGCAUUGUCUUGAGUUUGAUUUAAGUGGUUCGACAAAAAAAAAAAAAAGAUAGCAUCCCCAAUUCGGUUUGGGCCCGACUCUCUUAUGAGCGAGAGCUGCUAUCUCCCCUCUUCCAUUUGUCUCAAUUACCCUAGCUUGUUCCUUCUCCUUUCCUUUUCCCACAGCCUUGACCGAGCCUCCAAGAGCAAUCUUCUACCUUUGGUCUCUGUUGCUCCAUCAUCGGCGAACGCACCUCCAUGGGACUGCUCGCCUGAAGUUCCACCGAGUUCCAACAAGAAACGGGUACUAUCUAGGCUGCCUCUUCAUUCAUAAUUUUUUGGUAGUUCAAUUACAUCUAUUCAAAUUCCUUGCUGCCGAUUUCUAUUCUACCCCAGUUAACUGCACUUGAUUGCUUGGAUUUAUGGACAUUGGGUAGAUAUUUGGUUCUUGGUCAUUGGUUGAUUGUGCUUAUCAAAGUAGUAUUCGGUAGUCAAUUGCACAAGUGCCUUUGUUAUAGUCUUGCAAUCUUACAACAAUAGCUUGCGGGUCCCUCCAUUUUUGGCUUUAGAAAGCUUGAUUAGUCUUCCAUCCGUCCACAUAGCUUGCCAAUUGCAUGACUAUCUCCUAUUGUUUUUAAAAGACAAUUGUUAGUGGGUUGUUCAAUUCGAGUUUGGCUUCUACUGGGGAGUCCAUUUGGUUUCUUUCUUCGAUUGGGUCACAAUUACUCUUCAACUAUUGACCUUGGUGGGUGCUUUUGAAUUGUUGAACUAUGGCAAAGAAAAAGACUGCUUCAACGAAACCAAGUAAAACUCCGUCUGUGCCACCUGAACCUGCUCCCAAACCUAAGAAAAGAAGAGCCCCUAUCCAACCGAAGAAGAGGUCACGUUUGGGGAUUUGCAGAAGUACUCUGCCACCUGAAGACAACAAAUUGGGAGGUGCACUUGAUGGGUUCACUUCCGAGCAAAUAGAACGGCUUCAAAUGUUGCGAGUCAGACCUUUUGUUGCCUACAAAUCUGUCCAUCGCCCUACACUGGACCACCUGCGCAUUGCUAGUGACGUAGAUAGGUUGUUUGCUUCAAUUGGGUGGCAACGGUAUUUGACAAUUGAUUAUCCUUCUUAUAGUGAGUUAUCUUGGGAAUUUUACACUACAUUCAGCUUUGACAAACCAAGUAACUUAACUUUGAGUACCCCCGAUGUGGUAAGGUUUAGGUUGUUGGGUGUUGAUAUGCGUCUGUCCCUCAAUGAGUUCAAUAUACUUUUAGGUUUCAUCGAUCCGGAGGCUAUCUCAUCUCCAGAGUACAUGAACAGUGCCUGUGAUUAUGAACAGCCAUUCGCUAGGGAUUAUAUUGACAUUUGGAGAGAAUGGUCUGUGGAUAAGUUCACCUAUAAUCCUAGCAGGUCCAAGAGUUCUUAUUUGAAAGAUCCCGUUUUAAGAUACGUUCACAAGUUCUUAGCGUUCAACUUUUCUGGACGGAAGGAUGCGUCUUGUGUUUUAAGUAAAGCUGAAUUCUAUUUUUUGUGGUGCAUGGUCAAUAAUGUCAAAGUUAAUUUUGGAUGUUGGUUAGCUACUCAAUUACAGACCGUGCUCACCAAACCACACAAGCCAUUAAUAUUGGGGUCUAUUAUUACUCAUAUUGCUAACCGGAUGUGUGACUCUUUUGGGGCAGAUCUUGAACUGCAUGUUGCUCGUCCAACAGAUCCGUUGGAUUUGGCUUGUUUGGAGCGAAUGGGAGUUAUUCACCGUGUUCAGGACCAGUACCAGUUUGCAUCUCCGGGGGAGCUACGACUUCGGUCACCAGCUAGAAUCACUAUGUCCCCUGCUGCUGUCCCCACUGAUACUUUAUCUGCCGAAGAGGCAUGCCCUUCUACAUCCCUGCCAGGCCUACCAUCUAAACGGGAUGCUCAGUUCCAGAGUUUGCACGCACAGAUACAACGUCUAGACAGUCGAAUUGCCAAUAUCGAGCUUCAAAGUUCGCGGAUGGCGGAAAACUUGGCGGCUUACUUCGUUUCUGUGGGCUUCUCAUCGCCCUUUGCCCCACAUUCUUGAUCUUCAUGUUCAGGGACGUCCCUCUACCUUUCUUUUGCUCUUAUUAUCUUACAUUGCGGACAAUGUCAUGUUUAGGUGUGGGGGAAGGGUAUUUCUUGUAUGAAAAUUUGUGGCCAUUCCUAUAUUUGUAAUUUUGAGACAACUAAAAUGUAGUUUAGGUAGGAUGCAAAUGCAGUUGAGCUGCAAAUAUGAGUAGGGCAAUGUUACUAGCAUGAGUAGGUUAUUUUCUUGCAAUUGAUUUGAAUGAUGGAUGUGCUAGAUUUGACAUAAUUUCAACCAUUUUGUGAGCUUUCGGACUUUAUAAGCAAUUUAGUAUAUUUUGCUCUAUUUUCUUUUGUUGAGUGAUAUCACACAUGAUUUAACAUUCUAGAACUUGCUUCUCUAUGCAUGUUGAGACCAUGCUUGAAUUUGAUGCAUUAAAAUGAUAAGGGCAAUUAGGUUUAACCCUUUUGACUUUCUAAAUGCCUCCCCCAAUUAUGUUUACCCAUAGUUAGCCAUGUUUGAGGCUCAAUCCUUUUCUUCGUUAAUAGCCAAAUUUGUUACCUUAAACCUUUUUGUUUAGACCUUUUCAUUCGAACCUUGUGUCAAAGGAAUGCCAUAAUAUUCUUGCAUGACAAUUUCAAGUGUGUUCCAAAAGUACGUUUAUGGUUGGCAAGUAUGAUAGUUAUGUUGGUUCUAAAAAAAAAUGAUGAAAAAAAGGGAAAUGGAGAAAGAAAAAAAAUACAAAAAAAAAGAGAAUUUUUUUUUUUUUGUGAAGUGCACUUGUGUCGUUUUGUGAUAGUUGGGCUAAUGCCUAAAUUGCGUUUGCACUUGCCAAAUUUAGUGAAGUUAUUAACACUCUUGGAAGCCAGCUAUACAUGUGAAUGAUAAAGGAGUUUGAUUUCAUGCAGAGUAUUAUUGGUAUUUCCUUUGAUAUAUGUACACCUAAAUAAUUCCCUUUAUCCAACCCUUAACCCAAGCCCCGUUACAACCCUUAUAAAGACCCUUUGAUUGUUGCAUUGAAUUCAUUUUAAGUGGUGGAAAUGUGAUAUAUUAGCAAGCUUAUGGUAAUGUCAUUGCAUGGAGUUGAUUUGAGUGCUAAAUAUCCCUGAAACACUAGAGUGCAGAGUGUAUAUACUUCUAUCCAUGUGAGGGUUGUUGAAACUGGUGCAUCGUGAUUUUGAUGAAAUUGUUGAGAAGACAUGAUACUUGUGUUAAUAUGCACUGUGCUAUCCAUGUUUGCCAUCUUGACUGUGAUUCUUGAGUAGUGAAUGCUUGAGGGCAAGCAUUGUUUAGGUGUGGGGGAAUUUGUUAAGUGAUUAAUUAUGCAUAUAAUUGGUGAAUAUUUUCCCCUUUAUUUUGCUAAAAUAUGGUGUUAAUUGAUGAAUUUUACUCAUAUUUGAUUUUUGGUGUUGUUUUUAGGAAUUGUUGGUGAGAAUGGAGUAAAAGGUGCAUUAAAGACUAAAUUUUCAGAAGACUGCACUCUAUAAGACGUGGGCACGUGAGAAAACCAAGUGACAGACGGAAUCCACGGAGUUGCACUUGCCGUGUCUUUGAUUGCUACAUUAGCCACAAAUUGGAAGUGCUGAUCAAUUGGAACGAAAUCUUUGUUUCUUGAUUGAGAUAAACCCUGUUAAUUAGUAUUUUAGGGAAAAACAUUUGAUUUUCUUUUUAUUAGUACUAUACUUAUUAGAAUUAGAGUCCAAAGAGGACUCUCCUUUUUGGUGAAAGGAAACGUAGGAGUAUAAGAAUGAAACAAAGCCUUCGGCUGAGGGGGCGCUCUCGAAUCCUUUUUCUCCUUUUUCCUCUUGACAGACUAUAAACGCUAGUAUUUUGUCGCCGCGAAUUCACCAUGAGGAGCGGCUAAUUUCUUUUCUAGUUGAAGGAUAAUUGAAGCUUUGGUUCGACAAUUCUGUGAGAUCUAAUUUGAUUUAUUUGCUUCAUCUAUUUCUGAGUAUUUACAUAUUCCCUGUCAUCCAUGUUUAUGAUUAUUUUCUACAGUUAAAUACCUGAUCAAUAUUUAAUUGUUGAAAUAGUCUAUUGCCAUCUAAAAUAUCAAAUCCGUAAUUGUUUGGUGGUUUUAGUAUCUGUGGCGCGUGAUGUAAUUUGAUUGUAAAAGAAACUUUCGAAUCUAUGUCACGGGAAUAUAUAACCUAGCUUAAAUGAACCGAGCUUGUGUGUUUGUUGGUUAGAAUUGGUAGCUUCUCUAAUUAUUAAUGCUGUCAAUAGGUUAAAUCCUAAGAGCUUGUUUAGGGUUGCUUAAUUGGCAAGAGAAAUAGCCACAGAGCGUGUUGUGGUUAUCGAAGCAGUAAGGCGAGGCAGGUUGUCAGAGCGUGUUGACGACCAUAACCCGUUUAUUCAUGAAUAAGUGAUUUCACCUUUGCAUCGAUGAUCAAUUAAAUGAAACAAAGUGGAGAUUAGACCUUCGACUAGAGUGUUGCCUUUUCUUGAUUUAGUUUUAUUUAAUUUUGUGAUACUGUCUUUAUUUUUAUUCAAGUAAGCUAUUUGGUUAAUUUCUCCUAAUCCCCCAUUUUUCACAAAGAAAUAAAUCACCCAAUUCCUGUGGAUACGACCCUACUCACUGCUAUGCUCGAAUUCAAAUUUUAGAGUAGGAACUUUUAUUUUUGCUGGUUUGACACGCCAACAGAACUACCCAAUAGAACUAACUUCACCUAGGCUCUUUUUUUGUCAAAUUAUUAAUUUAGGAGAAAAUAGCCACUGAUCUUCUAGUCUAAAGGGAAAGAUUGUGAAGCACAACGUCUUGACAUUUAGUUUGGUUGUGCUUUUGAUUUUUAAGAAUUUUGGAUAUGUGCUUUAAACCUUAUAAUGUUAAUUUCAUGUAGAGUUUACUUCUGAGGAGGAAUUUCAACAUUCAUUUCCCUAUCUUCUUAUCAUAAUUUGUCUCUUACAUGGUCAAGAGACAUGGUUUCUUUCUCACCAAACUCCUAUUUCCAAUUUAACUUAAAAUGGAAUCAAAAUUGUCAAUAUGACUAAUUCUAAGCAUGUUUUUCCUUAGUUUUCUCGUUUUCGUUUAAAUUUUCCUCAUAAUCAGAUUCUGUUAAUCACAUGUAGAUGUUGGUGUAUAAGUUCAAUUAUUUCAAGAAAAAAAGCACAAAAAAGUACCCCAAAAAAAAUCCUAAACAAGAAACACGUAAAGAAAGGACUUUGCAAAUACUAUUAGUUUUUUUCCAAACGAAAUGCUAUUAGUUACCUUCCCUCUAGUUUUGGAGACCAAGAUUGAAAGUUACAGCUAGAGAAUAUGAGGUUCAAUCAUCUGUGGAGGUGGAGAUUAGAUCAGAGAGACAAAGGAUUGCAACUCUUGGUAAAGUGACCGUGAGGGAAGAAUCGGAGGAAAAUGAAAUUAAGGGCUUUGGAUGUUUGAGGAGCUCUUGGAUGUCUAUGGAGGUGUUCUAUAGUUCUGUGACUCUAUUUGAAGAAGUGAAGAGAAGAAUCAGUGCUUAGAGAUGAAGAGAAGCUGAAGCCGUGAUCGUGAGGUUUUUUUUUGCAUAUUUUGUUUUAGUAUUUACUAAUUAUAUAUUUGGAUAUAUAAUUGUAUAUAAUACCAAAAUAUAAAUAAUAUAUAUAGUACCUAUAUAUAUAAUUAUAUUACAAAAACAUAAAUGUUAUAUAUAUAUAUAUAUAGCUAUAUAUAUAUAGGUAAUUAUGGGGUCGGGCCUAUAUGGGACUUGAGCCUAAUGAGAUCCACGUUCGGCUCAAAUUUUAUUCAGGACUCAGCCCGGCUCACUAAUAGGUUAUAUAUAUAUAUGUGUGUGUGUGUGUGUGUGUGUUAUAUAUAUGUGUAUAUAUAUAUAGGUAAUUAUAGGGCUAGUCCUAUAUUGGGCUUGAAUCUAUUGAGGGCCAAACUGGACUUAUAUUUAAUUUAAACCUAGUUUUUAGGGCCCAAAUUCAGCCCAACUCACUAAUAGGUUAGGCUCAUUGGGCUUUUUAUUGGGUCGAAUAGGUCAGACUCAGGCUGACUCUAUAAAACUUGCCUCUCAAUUGUGACCCACAUGAUUGAUUCUAAAGUGAUUGAUAUCCUAAUUAAUUGAUUGACAGUUUGUCAAUAACUAAUUAGUAUCUCCUAUUCGUUAAUUAUUGAUUGUUGUAUCUUUUGCUAACCGAUAUCUCAUUCAAUCAAUUAACCAAUCAAAUGAAUCAAUUAGUCAUUAAAGAUUAUGGAUUAUGGCAAGAUUUCCUUGAUGGAAGGAAACCCUGGGGAUUUUGAUAAUUGCCAGUAAGGGUCCGUAGUCUAACCUAUAAAUAACUUGUGGUAUUCCAUCAACACUACACUCUCUGAUUAGGUAUAGACUAGAAGCUUCUUACUCUAACUUCUUCUUCUACAUAUUUUUAUUUAUUUUUAGAAUAGACAAGAAGGAGUCAAAGAGACAAGGAGAGACCAACUUAUGCUUGACAACAAUGGUUAGAGUUAAGUCUACUUAGAUUUCUAUUGCAUAGUACAUUCAUAUGUACAUAAUUAGUAUAACAUGAGGUAUUAGAGCCAAUUUCUAACCAUGUUGUUCAACUUAAAACUUCAUGGCUUAUCGGCAAUCUGAUAAAAAUUUUAGAGAUUCACAUCAAGUUUGAACAAAUUGAAUUUAAUUUGGAAUGGGAUCUAUGGUCUCAUUUUCUCAAGAAUUGACAUUUAUUGACUAAUCCCAUAUAGAUGUAUCAUUCAUAUGAUAUCUUAUUUGGCUAUCUAAUUCAUUCAUAUUUUCUCCAAUAAUAUGGUAUGACUACAAGUAAUUUGAAUGUUUCUUGAACUUACAUAUUUGUAAUUGAAAGCAUUAAAUGUAUUGAUUUUUGUUAUUAAUAUAAUAUAACAAUUCAAGAAACAUAUAAAGAGUUGUUAUAUUCAACAAUCAAAAGAUUAAUAUCAUAUUAAUCUAUGCAAGAUGAUUGGCUGACUUUGUAUGAAUGGAUCUUCAUGCUUAUUGAAUCUCUACUGCCGUAUUAUGAGAUAAAUUCUGAAGGCAUGAUUUCAAUAUCAAUUUGCCUCUACAUUCUUGUUAUUAUUUGGAAUUAUGUAGUGUUUUUGUGCACUACACUUAUAUUCAUUUAUCUCAUAUUAUGAUGUCAACAUUAGUAUGGUUGAUUACAUUUGAAUUUCAUAGAAUUUCCUUUUAAAGUUUUUUUCCAUCUCAAUUAUUUGAUGCAUAAAUAUUUUAAUCACAUAAAAAUUGGUGUUUAUAAAAGGAAAUCAAGAAAUUGUUUUGUCAAAAUACAGAUUGUUUGACUAUUUUGAUAUUCUUAUAAAGUUUAGCACACUAUAUGUUUGAAAGUAGCCAUAGCAUCUCAGACAUUUGUGUAUUAUAAUUUUGGUCACAUACAGUUUAGUGAUUAAAAUCAAGGAUUUCUGGUCAACAAGUUGGCUACUUAUUUUCUAUGAAUUAAAAAUUUUCUUGUAUCAUAUAUUUGGGAGUAGCCACAGCAUCUCAAAUAUACAGUGUAAAGAACUUUAACAACAUAAGAUUAAGUGAUUAUAAAAGGAAAGGAAAUUUCAAUAAAAUUCAAUCAACAUAAAGUUUUUUGACUAUUGACAAAUAAUUAGAUGCCAUGCCAAGAAUUUCACUUUUACAUUAUAUAUUUGGGAGCAGCCACAGUAUCCCAAAUAUUUGAUGUGAAAAGUUUUUCAUCAUAUACAGUUUGGUGAUUGAAAUUAUGGAUUUUUAGUCAACAUAUUGGCUAGUUGACAAUUUUUCUUAUAAUGCCAUAUACGUAGGAGUAGCCAUAGUAUCUUAAGUAUAUUAGUGUCUGGAGAAAUUUUGUAUUUUUUCACAUAUUGUUGAGUGAGUAAAGAAAUUAAAAAAAGGAAUCUAUAUAAAGUUGCAAUUAAUUCACUAAGAUAGUUAUUCGACCACACAAGGAGGUAAUUAUUUUGGUGAGAUUAAUUGACAUGAGAUGGUAAAUUAGAAAGUAAAUUAAGAGAUAUUUCUAUGCCCACAGUUACAAAUUAUUUCUUCAAUUUAUUGUUUUAGAUUACUAGUCUUAUGAUUAAGGAAAGUAAAUUAUAUGCAUUUUUCAGCCUUUGGCCACAGGAAGGUUUGAAAUUACUAUUUGAAUUGACACAAGGUUGAUUAAAAUCAAGGUACAAACUUCAUAGCAUUUUUAUAAUAUAGUUUUUGAUUGUUAAUUUAGUGUUUCAUUCCAAUGAUUUUAUGGUUCUUAUUAGGUUGACUUUUAAAUUCAUUCUCCUUUGUUUUGGGUGCAAGUUUUAAAUUAGCACUUUUAUGAGAAUGAACAAACCAUUCUCAUAAUAUGGAUAUAUUUGCUAAUAUAGAGGUUGAGUAUGAGAAUUAGAAGCAAUUUAGUAGUUUGCUCAUUCUGUCUCAUAUUCACAUAAAAUAGGGUUCAAACCCUAAUUAUUUAUAGUUAAAUCUUGCAUGAAAGUCAUAAAGAAAUUAUUGCAAGUUUUCACUAGCACCAUUAGAAGGCGUGACACUUAAAUAUUAAAGUGUAUUUUGAAAAGAUGAGAAUUUUGCUAUAUCAUGAAUUAAAGUCCCAUCAAGUUGAGAUUGAGUUAUUUCUGUAGCAUGUCAUUCUUGAUUCUUUCAUAAAUAAUUUCUUAGCCAUUCAAACCUUUAUAAUACACAUAAAGAUAUAUGGUUAAUCACUUGUUUUAACCAUGUGUAUUAAAAAAGAAUAAAGAGGUUAAGAAAUAAGAGAAACUUAACCUUUAUGAAAGAAGAAAUGCAAAGAAAGGUAAUUUUGUUCUCAAUAAGUCAAACAACAAUAAAGACCAAUAUUGUUUGUAACAAAGUGAUACUUGAUGCUUUACCUUGAGAGAAAGUAACUCAAAAGAAAAUCUCAAUUGUUGAGUGUUAUAACUUGUGAUAUAUUGGUGAAUUGGCUAAAGUCUGUGAAUUUGCAUUGCUAGUAUAAUAAGUUUCUGAUUAUAUGCAAAGUGAACAAAAGUUUCUUUAUAGCAACUAAAAAUAUUCACAUAAAGUGAUGUAUUAUUGCUCAUUUCAAGAAAAUUUAUUUUUCUAAAACAUUAUUUUCUUAUUACUUUAAAAUUUUUAUUUUCAAAUUAAUUACUAUCGGGUAUGAUUAUGAACCUCAUUAUCCAGUGGUAGAUUUUGAAAAUAGUGAAGUUAUUAAUUCUAAAGUUUCCAGUACCAUCUUUUGAAUUGAGCAAUAUGCUGCACUUGACCACAAUAAUUAUAUUGAUAGCAAAUAUGUUUAUCACUAGGGGAAAUUCCUUAAAUUUUGGCAUAGGAGAUUGAGAUAUAUCUCAUUAAAAAAAUAAAGAGUUGAUAAAUCAUAAAUUUUUAAAGAUUUUAGAUUUAUUAACUAUGAUAUUUUAAGUAGACUGCAUAAGUAAAGCAGACUACUCAACUAUUAUGGAUGCCAUAAGAGUUUCAUUAUACCACUAAAAUUUUGUGAAUUAUUUUCUAUCCUUUUUUUUUUGUGAGGGAUAUUUAUCUCAUUAUUAGAUAAUUAUUCAUCAAAUAUAAAGCUCUUUUCUUAUUUGAUAAAGAAUCAAUAUUUGAUACCUAUGCAAGUAUUCAAACGAGAAAGGAAAUUUGAAAUUUGAAGCAUAGAAAAUAAAAUGAAGGCACACCAAAAAAAAGGCUAUCCUAUUUGUGCUCAUUAAAUAGGAAACAUUGCUAAUGAGUAAAAGCAAUGCUUGAUUGGUUUCAUCCAAUGGUGUACUUUAAGGAAAUAAUGAGAUACUUGUGGAUAUAGCAUAUUGGCAAUAUUUAUAUCUUGUGCGUAAUGCCUUGAAAUUGAAGUAUAUACUUAAACAAUUUCUUCCAAAAUUAUUUAAACACCACUUUGAUUAUGAUAUGGAUAAAAAUCAAGUUUAAGAUAUUAUGUUUAGUUUUGUGAGGGUGAUCAACCUACACAUAAAGAAACUGUACAAAAGAAACAAGACUAUCUUGCUCCAAGAAAUUUAGAUUCUUUUACACUUCAAAAAUUAUUAGAACUGGAGAUUUAAAUUUCUUAAGAGCAUGAAGUAAGUAGGAGUGUUUUGACUCUAGAAUGGAGUAUUGAAAAGGUAAGAUUCAUAUUUGAUUCCUUUGAAUAUGGAAAAUUGAUAACUUUUCUCAAAAUUAUUAUUUAAUUAUUUUAUAUAAGCAAUCGAAUGAAAAACUCCUUGUCAAAUAAACACAUGAAGUAAAUCUACAUUGAACCCACUGGUUGAGUUAUCUUAUAGACAGCGGGAGGAAAAAUGUUCUCUAUAAAAAAUUGAAGUUCUUUAAUUACUAUGUUGUAUACCUACAAGAGUUUAAGGAUGAAUUGUGUAAUGUUUUCAUGAGGUGCAAAUGGAGAAAUCUCCAUGUUCAAGAAUAGUGUCACAAAUUACCACAAAAUCUCUACCAAAUUUGAGAGAUUAUAUUUGGGGUAAUUAUGGCACUAGUAACUCACUAUUAGAGGUACAUUAGAUAAAUAUGAAAAUGAAUGUCCUUAACGCAAUUCUUGAUAAUUAGGCAUAUACAUGUGUCACCAUGGUAGAGAAUGUAAUUUAAACCAAAUUAUUGCUCCUCAAUAGUAUAUUAAUUUGUUCUUCAUUUGAUCUUAGAAGAAUUUUUCUAGUAAAUUAAUAUACAUUAAGGUUAGUGGGAGUAAUACUAUGAGAGUUUUUCUCAAUCAUGAUAUUUGUGAAACCCUUCUAUCAUUAGUAUUCACAAAAUAGAAUGUAAAAGAUAGUUAAUCUGUCUUAGAACCUUCAUGCAAGAGUUCUUUGAUAAUAAAGAACAAAUAUUACUUUUAAAUAAUCAUAGUGAACAAUUGCAUAAUGUUCACAUCAUGCAUUGGAAUGAAUAUAAAUUCACCAAGAAUGCUAUGAAGUUAUACCACAGGCAUCUACUGUUUGGCCUAAAGUUUGUCGAUAUUGUAUUUUGGCUAAUAUAGAUAUUUGAUUUGAUUAUACCCUUUCAUUAUGUAUACAUGAAAGAGUGGGAGUCAAGACAUGCAGGUCGACAUAAGGUAUUCAAUAAUUAUUUAGAAAAUAAAAUGUAGCUAUUGAGUACACAGCAAGGAGUUAUUAUUGUUGAUCAACAAUUAAUGGUUACCGAGUAAGUUGUUAAUGAUCAAGUUGUUAAUGAUCAAAUAACUCAUAUAGAACUCACUAGGUCAUUUAGUAUUUUGCUAUUAUUCUAAAACUAUUGUUGUUGUCUAGACACUCGAAAUACUUAUGUUUACAUGAUUUUGUGCACAUUAUUGUUCAUGUAUAAAGUAAAGAUCAUGUGAUCCAUAAAGUUGAAUCCUGAUUAACUUAUAUGAAGUUAUUCAUAAAAUUUUUUUAAAGCACUUGAUUAGAAAGUAUAAUAUAUUGUAAUAGAUAGAAGGAAGUGUUUGCCAUGAGAACAUAAUCGCCAUGAUUUGUGUAUUAUUAUUUUCUAAUUAAACAACUAUUACAUAAUUGUUGAAUUUGGUGAGUGACAAACAAAACUUAUGGCCAUUUUAAGUAUCUAGUCACUCAUAUGUUAACUGACUAUUUCAUGUGGGUCAAGUGGAAGAAAGUAAAACUUGCCUCUUUUAGAGGCAAUUGUGACCCAUAUGAUUGAUCCUAAAUUGAUUGAUAUUUUCAAUAAUUAAUUAAUAUCUCCCAUUUGUUAAUGAUUGAUUGGUGUCUUUUGCUAAUUGAUAUCUGAUUCAAUCAAUUAAUUAAUCAAAUCAAUCAAUUAGUCAGAAAAGGUUAUGGAUUAUGACAAGAUUUUUUUGAUGGAAGGAAACCUUAGAGAUUUUGAUAAUUGCUAUUAAGGGUCCCUGGUCUAGCCUAUAAAUAGCCUAUGGUAUCCCAUCAACACUACACUCUCUGAUUAGGUAUAGACUAGAAACUCCUUACUCUAACUUUUUCUUUUACAUAUAUAUAUUGGAAUAGACAAGAAAGAGUCAAAGAGAUAAGGAGAGACCAAUUUGUACUUAAUAACAAUGGUUAGAGCCUUAGAGGCAAGUCUAUUUAGAUUUCUGCUGCGUAGUACAUUCACAUAUACAUAAUUAGUAUAACAAGCUCGACCCUAUUGACAAUUCUAUUUUGUAUGUAUAUAUUCUUGCUGUGACGACUCUCAAUAGUGCACAAGUACCGCGUUUACUCUUGUCAAACUGUGUCUGCAAUUAGAUUGAUUUUGAUUACAGAGUUCAGGGGACAAUGCGAAAGAAAUGCUGUGUAAGGGACCUCUGUAUUUUCUCAGUGCAAAAUUCAUCCAAAUGAGCUCGUGCUAGACUCCUGCUUGAUUGGAUCUUGGUUUUGAGCUGAAAUUUAACUCAAUUAGUUGGUAAGGCUAGCUGGAAUCAGUUAGAGCCAUUUAUUGGGUAAGCAAAGCUCGGAGUUUUCUAACCAAGACAUAAAAAGCAUGAUAAUGCAGCAGAGGACGAUGUGUGCUGGCCUCCUUUUGAUAAAAUCCAACUUUGGUGGGGUAGGGGGUUGGCUAAAAUGUAAGUUGAAAUUUUGGAAAAUGAGAAUAUAGGAAGAUUCAAAUUUCAUAGGGAUAAUUUUAGAAACCUCCUCUAAGGUUUCUGAUAGCUUCACUGCCUUCCCCUAAAGUUUUAAAUAUAUCACUAACCUCCCUUGAAACUAAAUUUUCUUGUAACAAAUUAGCGCAAUUCAAAAAAAUUAAUAAUAAAAAAAUGAUUUCAAGAGUGAGAAAAAUAUUUCAUACAAAAGUGCCCCUCAACUAAUUACUAGUUGGUUGACUUAGAAUCAAAAGGGAAUAUUAGUUAAGAAUAGAAAAUAAAAACCAUAGUUACAAUGUGUCAGUGUAAGUAAGGCAAAUUACAAUACUAGCAUGAGCCCACUAGAAUUCAAUAACAAUGGCUCGCAAAAUCAAAGAAUUGGAAGGAAAUUUUAUUAAUUUAGAAUCAAUAUUUACACAUUGAAUUCCUAAAUUCUUAGUGGUGAAAUUUGGAAGAUUUUGAGUAAGAAUUAAAUAAGACGAAGUAUGACCUUUUCAAGAAAAAUGCCACAUUAAAUAAAAAAUAAAAAAUAUGAUCAAAUAUUUUUUGAAUUAUUUCUUUUACUUACGAGGUCCAUUAUUUCAUAUGAUUACUAAGAAACUUCUAUCAUUUGUAACAAAAAAAAAAAAAAACAACUCUCAGGCAAUGUUUGCAUGAAUAGAAUGGAAAUGACUUUAAUGGAAAAUACGUAAAUCAAAGUGGAGAAAAUCAUUUUUAACAAUCUUUUUGGAAUUAUGUAUACAAAGAAAAAGAAAAAAAUAUUUUUGAAAUAUAGGGAGAGAAUAGAUUAUGUGUAGUUACACUUUAUCUAAAACUUAAUAAAAUUUAAUUUGUAAACAUAUUUUACAAUUUAUCAUUUUUGUGCAUUUUUGUAUUCAUCUUGUUAUUUUUAUUAAAAAAAAACUUAUGAAAUAAUAAUAUCUCAAUAGGAAUUUUAAUCUUUUUUGGGCGAAGAAAUAACAAGAACUACUAAAAUUAAAAAAAAGAAUUUAAAAUGUUAACAAUUAUUGUUAUAAAAUUUGGUAUUCAAGAUUUUCAAGCUUUUUUACAUUCCAAAUUAUGGCAGUACAAGUGGCUCAACUAUCUCUCCAUACAACUAUGUAUAAUUUCCCAAGUUGUAGGGUAAUAAAGUCAUUUGACCAUUGAUGUGGUAAGCAUUGGAUCCCAAUUGGUUGACUCGGGGGAGGGUAAGUGAUAUUUUAAAAAUCUUGGAAGAGGGCAGUAAGAUUGCCAUUGAAAUUAUCCCAAUUUCAUAAGUAGGGCGGAACUUUUUAUUAAAUUUGUGGAUGGGCUAUGGGUUACUACUAUUCACCAAACGAACAGAUUUUUGGCUAAGUAAUUAAAUCAGACUUGUAACAAUGUACUUUGUCAAGAGCAAAAAAAAUUCUUUUUUGAAAUGUGCAUCUUAUCGAACAAUAAUAUGCACCUAAAUGAUAAAAAUAUGUAGUUUGGUAAAAUGUACAUAAAUCCAAAUAUGCACAUCUAAAUUGAUAGAGCUGUGUAUAGGUAUAAUCAAAUUACACAGAUACAAGUCGCAAUAUGUGCACAUAAGGGUAAUUUUCUUAUUAUACUCACAAUAUUUCUUUUAAUAGUUCAUAAACAGUAACUUGCACCUCAUUCAAGGGGUAGGGAUGGGUUGGAUGUUAGAAAGAAGGGAAUGAAAGUGAAAUGUCCUGGAACCAAGAGCUCCCAGCUAUACUAAAAAAAAAAGAGAGAAAAAAAAAUCAAACCUCAUUCAUAAAUUUUCCAAAACUUACACCUUCUUUUGAAUUUUAAAUCUUUCUAUUCCCUUUCUCCAAAUUAUCCCAAAAUUUAAAUUAGUUGGUGGGAACACGAAAAAAUAACUACAAACAUUAGUUUAAAUAUCUGAUCAUGAAGAAGGCAGGGACAACUAUUUUUUUUUUUUUUGUCACAACGAUAGGAUUGUUAUAACCUAAUCUAAUCUAAUCUAGGAAGAGGAGACUCGAUGUGAGUACAAACUCCAUCGAAUGGCCACUAAAAAUCGUCACAUAUUGUGACAAAUUUUUGUAGGAGGCAAAGGUCGAACCCUUGACCUCCCGCACCACCAAGCCAUAGAAGGCUUGGCAGUGACCACUGGACCUGGACCAAAGGCCCAGAGUGGCAGGCAGGGACAACUACUUUUUUGCCAGAAGCUAAAGAGUAAUUUCUAACCUUAAACCCACAGUAAUACCAAAAGCCGGUAACUUCUGGUACCACUGAGUAGACUAUAAACUACACUCACACACCCAACUCAAACGAUGUGGGAUACGGGGAAGGGAACAAGGGGACUAACCCACUCACUCUGUUUUUAACCCUACCACUGAUCUUGUUUCUUUUUUGCCAGAAGCUAAAGAGUAAUUUCUAACCUUAAACCCACAGUAAUACCAAAAGCCGGUAACUUCUGGUACCACUGAGGAGACUAUAAACUACACUCACACACCCAACUCAAACGAUGUGGGAUACGGGGAAGGGAACAAGGGGACUAACCAACUCAAACGAUGUGGCAGGCAGGGACAACUACUUGAAUGGGCAUUUUCUGAAUAGAUCUAGACGCCUUCACUUGAAUGGGUCAAGGGAGGCCUAAUUUGAGUGAUGUGAUUUUCAGUAGCAUGAAAGAUAGUAGUGUAACUUCGAAAAUUAUAAACAUAUACAAAACUCCCCCAAUCAUUGAAAGUUAUAAACAUAUAUAAAGGUCCCUUAGUCAUUACAUGUAUUGUUCAGAAUUUUAAAUAUUCGUGAAAGUGUAUAAAAAUCACAAGUCAAAUAUCUAAGCUAUAGGGUUAACGAUAUAGGAUGACGAUUGAGAAAAAUUACAGUUAGAGUCUUUUGUGGCUUUCAAAAUUACAUGGUUUUUCACAUUCCUAUUUUCCUUUUGUUAUACACUUAAAUCGAUGUUGUUUGCCAGGAUAAAUAUAAACGUGGCCCAAAAGGAGUAGGAACUAUCUCGUGCACCAGCAUACGUAGAUUUAUUGUAUAACUAAUACUAAUAUGUAUAUUUGUUGGUAGUGAAAGUAGAGAGAAAUUUAUACUUUCAUUCACUAGUUUGUUUGGAGUUCACAAGAUUGCAAAUGAGGUUGGAAUAACAUCUAUUUUCAGGCAAAGCAAAAUGAAUAAUACAUUAACUAACUUUAAUACUUAUACAUGGAAUAGUACAUCAAUAUGAUAAAAUUGAGUUGUUUCAUGAGAAGAUAAGUGUAUCACAUUAAUCUAGGGGGAAAAUACAUGUAUUAAUCCUCUAGGGGAAUUGAAUGGACAUCCACAUCUAUUUGUAUUUGUUUCAUAACAAGUUUGGUGUUUUUGCCAUUUUUUUUUUUGGGUAAUCAUGAAAAGUUUCAAGUCUCACAAAAAAUGAUAACUCUUUUUGUUUUAAUCCGUCGAGACGUUGGUUUACACUAUUAUCUCGCUGCAACAUAGUUCCAACAUAUUUCUCAAAAUAUUUUCAUCUAACUUUGAAUUCAUGUAUAUUCCUGUUUGGUUAAGUUACACUGAAUUUCUUUAACAAUUAUCAUUCAAUUCAAUAUACUUUAAAAUAAGUUACAUUAAAAGAACCGUUUUCUCUUAGUCUUAAAAAGAAUUAAGUUAGUAAUAUUCAUAUUUGAGAACAACACGUUACCCACACUAAGUCUAGAAAAGAAUUACUGAUGUAUCAGAAUUAUCGUUUUCGAAAAAAAAGAUGUAUCUGUUUAUUCAAAAAAAAAAAAUCAGUGUUUUACUAAUUUAGAUACAAAAAAUCAACAAAAUUGAGAUGCUGUACAGAAUAUUGAAAAGGGGCCAAUUGUGUCAAGACUUCAUGUUUUCUCACCAAAGCUAUUGGGCACCACUCAAAAAAGUCAUAUAGAGCCAAGCCAAAGCAAAAAAAAAAUAAUAAUAAUAAUAAAGAAGGCAACAAACUGGCCUGUGCAGUGACCUUAUCCUUUUGGAUUCAUUUCAGUGGAUAAGAUUCAUUUACACUUAUAGUGAUAUAAAUCUGCAUCCUUCUUCAAAAGCAAAAAAAACCUCCCCUGUUAAUGAUCAUGGAAGUCAUCUAUAGCAUCCUAGUUCUCAGUUUCUUGGUAGUCUUAGUUGCUAUAAAACAUCUUCAAGAAAACAAGAGAACGCUAAAGCCUCCAAGUCCACCAGCUCUCCCAAUUCUAGGCCAUCUGCACCUCCUGAAAGCUGCCCCUCACCGUGCUCUUCAACUUCUCUCCAUCAAAUACGGCCCCCUGAUUUCCCUUCGAUUUGGGAUUCGUCCUAUACUUGUUGUUUCCUCACCAUCUCUUGCAGAGGAAUGCUUCAGUAAGACUAAUGAUGUUAUCUUUGCUAACCGACCAGGGUCCAUUUCUGGCAAAAUCCUUGCCUACAACAACAGUACUCUCGGGUUCUCUCCUUAUGGAGACCACUUUCGAAAUCUCCGCCGUGUUACCUCCAUCCAUAUUUUUUCUUCCGUUAGUCUCCACAACUUUUCCUCAAUCUGGACAGAGGAAAUCCGUUUCAGUGUCAAGAAAUUGUUCUCAAUGAACUCUGAUGACAAAGUGUGGAAAGAUGUAAACAUGAACUCUGUGUUCUUGGAUUUGGUAUUCAAUGUGAUCAUGAAAAUGCUUGCAGGGAAAAAAUGGCCAUCUGAUAAAACAGCUGAUUUGUUUCCGCUGAUCUCCGUCAUGGGUAUUUGUGAUUAUGUCCCUGUCUUGAGAUGGAUUGGAUUUCGAGGGUUGGAGAAAAAUUUGAUCAAUUUACAGCAAAAGAGGGACAAAUUAUUCAGGGAUCUCAUUGAUCAAACUAGGAAAAAGGAAGGUGAAGGUGGCUCAUGCUCGACUGAGCAGAGAAGAACUGUUAUCCAAGCAUUGCUGUCGCUUCAAGAUGCUGAACCUGAAUUCUUAACUGAUGAAACUGUCAAAGGGAUCAUGCUAGUAAGCCAACUUGCCAUUUCUCUUUUCUCCUUAACAUAUUUUUUGCUUUGGUAAUUAUUGCUCUUUAUAUCCGGUUUCUAUUUUCAUAUUUCAUUUUUUUUAAUGCAAAUCAACCUUUUCUCCAAUUAGUCAGUGAACUCCUCUUCUAGCUGGUAAUCUCUUUCCUCCACUCAAAAAAUUUGACUGAAUGAGUAUCUUUUUCCUUAUUAACUUUUGUUUAAGCAAUCCUAUGGUAACCACAAUUUUCCCUUGUAGCUUUCGUUGAAGCAAAUCCUAUGUGCAUAUGACACUAUGACAGCAUCCAUGCUAUACUAGAAUGGUUGUGUGACCUAGAUGUAGGUCGAAUUUUUGAAAAUUCAAAAGAAAAUUAUCUUUUUGAAUUUGUAACGAUCUGGCGACUCAGAUCGAAACUGCAAAUUACCUCAUGCAAUUAGCUCUUGGUUCUCCACACUGCGGAUCCAAAGUGGCAAGAGAUGACAUAAAAGUAUCAAAUUCAUGUUGCUCUGCAUUAUUUGCAUUUUAGUGAGGUAUGAGGUGUAAGGUCAUGUCAUGUUGAAAGCUCAGCCUACAAAAGGGGUCCAAUCAAAAAUAUAUAUUUUGACAGAUCAAGCGUUUAUUUUGUCUUUUUCCUAUUAAUUGUUUGUAGAUUAAAUAUUUCUUUCUAAAAUGUCAUCCGAAGGUACAUUACCAAAUAAAAUUUGCUUUUGACAAUUUUGAAGAUCAAAAUAGUCAUCAGAUUUGUGAACGUCAUUGUUUUAAAGAAUUACUCAUAGAGAACAAUUUAGAAACCCAUUGCAAAGGAGAACAAGCCACAUAUAAUAACAUAUCAAAGUAAACUAUGGAAACUAAGAAGAAAUUUUUUUAAAAUACUUUAUUCAAUCUUUCAAAAAUCCUUGUCAGUCGUUCCAAUUAAAAAGAAUUCUUCCAUGAUCAAUUUAUUACAAAAAUCUUGUUGAAUAUCUCUUGGUAUCCACUAACUUUAAAAUGGUAUUCUUAUGUUGGGCUUUACAUUCAUUUUGACAAUACAUGCCUUGUUGUUUUUCUAGAUUAUGUUCACUGCUGGAGUACACACUUCAGCUCUGACCAUGGAGUGGGCUAUGUCCCUUAUGCUAAACCACCCCCAGGUAUUGAAGAAGGCAAGGAGUGAAAUAGACAACAACGUUACACAAUCAGGGCAAUUGAUUGAGGAUUCAGAUCUCUCCAAAUUGCCAUAUUUGCGUUGCAUAAUCAAAGAGACACUUAGACUUUUUCCUGCAGCACCAACUCUUUUGCCUCAUUAUUCAUCUGAAGAUUGCACCAUAGGAGGCUUCAAAGUUCCUAAAGGCACAACUUUGUUAGUAAAUGCUUGGGCUAUUCACAGAGAUCCGAAGGUUUGGGAAGAGCCAGCCAAGUUUAAGCCAGAAAGGUUUGAGGGAAUUAAUGAAGGGGCUUGCGAUGAAGGGUUCAAAUUUAUUCCAUUUGGAAAAGGUAGGAGGGCUUGUCCAGGGGCUGCCUUAGGCAUGAGAUUUAUUAGCCUGACGUUGGGAACAAUGCUACAAUGUUUUGAUUGGGAAAGAGUAGGGCCUCAAUUGGUGGAUUUAGAAGAAAAAUCUGGUAUGACUUUGGACAAGGCCAAGCCUUUGGAAGCAUUGUUCAGGCCACGCUCAUCCAUGAUUGAAUUGGUUUCUCAGCUUUGACUAAAGAACAUGACUGGUGGCUUUUGAAGAUUGUAUCAUAAUAAUAUCUGAAAUACUUAAAGCUCAAACUACAAAGGUGCACCUAUUGCAAAGUGUGAAAAAAAGUGAAAAUAAGAGGAAGGAGAAUAUAAGCAUGAAAAUCUUUCAGUCUAUGCAGUUAUUAAAGAUUAAAUAGGCUUUGAACUAAACCGUGUUUGGCUUUUUCUUUUUGCUUUUUAAUAUUGGUCUUUUAAAUUCACUGUAAGUGCAUCUACUGGAGGUCUUUGGUUUUCCACAUUUGUAAUUAUAGAAAAUCUUCAACCUUAACUGGGUUUCUUUGUUGGUACAUAAAGUGGUUAUGGGGUUUCAACAAAACAAGCAAAAAGAAUGUCGUUUGAGUAGAGAUGUCAAUCACAACCCAAUUAUAUUGAUUCGUCCAAAUCCGCCCACCAAUGAAUCGCUCAAACUCACCCACUAAUUUUGAAUGAAUUUAAAUGAGUACCCAAUUAAGUCCAUUUAAUUAAUGAAUGGUGAGUUGACUCGAUUCAUCCAUUUGUAUCCAUUUAAAAAUAAUUAGACAUUUAAACUCAACUUUUAAUUAGUGUUAAGCAAAUAAAUUUGAAUUUCUUAUCAAUUUAAUAAUAAUAAAUACCGUUAUUUCUUAUCAAAUAGCAUGCAAAAAAAAGUAGAAUUGUAAGUGACUCAUAAAUAGAUAAUUGGGUAUAUCUAUACUCAUUUAUUAAAUGGGCAUAAAUGAAUUGACUUAAUUAUACCCAUUACUUAAUUAUGACUGUCCAAACCCACCCAAAUCACUCAUUUUAGCACCUCUACUCAUGAGUAGCGAGGUUAUCGAGCUAACUCGAACCCAAUUAUGGGUAACUCGAGCUAGACAUCAAAGAAAAUUAGCUAAGCUCAAAAUCAAGUUUAAGUUCGACAGUGAAUUUCCUUUCUUUGUCAUAACUCAGUGCAUGACCAUCUUCAAUUUAUCCACCAAAACCGUUGCUAAGUUAGCUUAAGAACUCUUUUAUUGGUAUCAGUGUCUUUUAUUUCACAUUCACUCAAAACUUUUACAUGUUUAACUUCCUUUGGCAUACUUUUUUCUUUGUCAAAAUUUUGUUGGCGGUGUAUAAAGCUUUCAUGUUUUUCAUAUAUCUGUUUGAUGUAUUAGACAUGCAUAAUUUUGAUGUUGCAAGUAAAUUUAUGAAGAUACAACUCUUUUCGUGAGUUACAGGUGCACAUUCACCAUUUCGAAUCCCAGAUUAUUAGAUUUUUUUUUUGUUUUGCAUUUUUUUGAAUUUUCAAUUUAUUUGUGAACUUUUCAAAUUUUUGCAAAAAUUUGUUCUUUUAGAAUGAUGACAGGUAUUUUAGAAGAUGUCUGUAGCUAAUUAUAAGUUCAAUUUAUCCACAGUCUCGUGAACGUUGAAGGACCAAUACCUGUUAAGAUCGCAAAACUAAUUUUGGAGUCUCCAGAACACAUAAUUCUUAAAGAAUAGGGUUAAUUCCACUUUGUCUCCCCAAACUUUGGACGAUUACCCACUUUAGUCCUUAAACUUCAAAAUGGGACACUUAAGUUCCUAAACUUAUAAAUACCUCCCACUUAAGUCCCAAAACUUAUAAAAUGGGACACUUAAAUCCCUAAACCCUUAUAAAAUGGGACACUUCGACCACCAACGGCAUUCAGGAUUUGUUAACAAUUUUCCUUAAAUGGAAUGUAUUUAUAAGUUUAGGGACUUAAGUGUCCCAUUUUGAAAUUUAGGGACUGAAGUGGGUAAUCGUCCAAAGUUUGGGGGGACAAAGUGGUAUUAACCCGAAAGAAUAUUCAAGCCAUUUUUUUUUCAGGGUUCGUUGUCACACUCUAAUUUUUCAACUCUACAUCAGUUAAUCAAAUGACUUCAAUUUAUUAGUGCCACUGAUUUCAAGGUCAAAUUUGCUUAAAAUUUUCAGUUUUGCAAGUCCCUGGAAACUUUUAUCAUCUUCAUCUCAAGUAUCCCUGUAUUCUUGCUUUUAUUAUUCACCCAUGUAAUCUUGAUUCUAAAUGCACAUAUGCCUCAUUGCUAAAGUUUUUAUUCAAUGUUACUUGAUAAUAACUCAUAAGUAUGCCCUUAUGAAACAGCAACAAGGAAGAUCUUGAAUGCGCCUAUUCGCAACCCAGGAAUAAAUUAACCUAAGUACAUACCAGUAACAUGGAGAAUCAAAUCAUGGUUUCACAUAAAAUAUGAUGGACCAAACCUUUUUUCACAUAUCAAAAUAAAAAAAUAUAACUUGAAGCAACUUGACAUAAGUUACCCUGGAAUGAUAAUGCUAUAAGGGGAGGGUUGGGUUGGGUGGUACAGGGGGAGGGAGUGUAAGCAAGAGGUCUCGGGUUGAGUUCUACUGUUUACACUAAAAAAAAAACAAUAAUAUCUGCUACAUAAACUUCUCAAUUAUGUCUGUUUUUUUUUUUUUUUAACUUCUCAUUUAUGUCUAACUGCUUCUAAAAAAUGUCAGUGUCAAUAUAAUCAUUAAGAAGAAUAAUAUUGGACUGCAAAAGUGGACUUUAAGAGUAGGUUCAAGAAAAAAGGAGACUGUGCAAUUAAAUGGCAAACAUCACUUUGAUAACAAUACUUGUUUACUUAAGAAGAAUUGUAUAAAAGAAUAAACGCAAAGACUAAGAUUGCAAUUUUUUUUAAAUUUUUUUUUAAAUAUAAGAAUCACCUAUUAAGCUCUAUAAUUAAUAUUAAAUCUAAAAAGUCAAUUAUUUGGCCUUUAAAACUGCGUUCACAAACUUUUUAUCUCUUCAUAUUCAGAUUUUAUAUAAUGUUUUAGCAAAAUCAAUACGAACACAUGAGAAAACUAUCUCUAAAAGGCUAAGGCCGUAAAAUAAAGAGAAUGACCAAGGCAAACAAAGAGCAAUAAUGAGCAAAAUAUGACACGAAAUAUUUGUCUCUAAAAAAGGACAAGCUCAGUGCUAAGAAAGGUAUAAAAGUUUCCUAGAAAAAGAAGCUUAGAACCAUACAAUUUUAACUAACCUAUUUCACAUUUGAAGUUAGAAUAAUUAAAAAUUCAAUGGACCGAACUAUUGUCUUGAAAUAAUAUGAUGAGUUUUGCAAUUCUACGGUAGAUUCAUAAAAGUGCUUAAGAAACACGUGGGAUAACACUGUUGAGAAUGAUGUGUUCACUGAAUAACGAAAUAUGAUUUCAUCACAACUCCAAAUAUUAUCAUAGAAAUUUAUAAGUAAGAUAAUUAAGUAGUAUUAUCUUAAAGCUAAAGGGAGAAAUUUUGUUUCAAUGUCGACAAAUGCAACGUGCAUUUUCUUAGUCUAUUAUUAAAAACUUGUCCAAGGAUUCUUCCAUUUUUAUAAUAGGUGUUAUCUCAUUUUAUAUGCUAAAAUUACUAAAUUAAUUUUGAGAGGUCGUUAAGUCUAUUCUAUAUCUAAGGUACCCCUUCAGAUGAUAAACUAUUUAGGGGGAAAAAACUGUGAAUUUGAGCAUGCCUAAAAGAAUUAAGAAAUAAAUUUACAAUAAGGAAAGAUAGACUUAUUAUCAUUAGUGGUGACUGAAAGCAUUUUUUGUUUGAGUGAGAAUGGCCCCUAUUUUUUAUUAGAUAAAAAAUUUAAAGAAUUAAAGAUGCUCAUAAAAUAAGAUGAAACAAUAAGGGAAGGAAAUAAAUUAAUCCACUAAGGUUGUAGGCGAGGAACCUUAAAACUUCCUACAAAGAUAUUCUAGAAUAAGUCUGAAAAUAAUAGAAACAAAGUUGGUUUACAUUAAUAGCUUGAACAACACAAGAAAAUUAUUAAAAAAUUUUAGUAGUUUGCCAUAGAACACAAACCGCCUUAUGAAUUAUACUUGUUUGACAAUAUCAAAACUCUUUCCACAAAGCACUUAAACACCACAUACAUCAUCACACUUGAGCUCGAAUCCAGCUCAAAUCUCGGAUCGUUUACACCCAAUACUUGAGUGGUUGAGUGAUCUAGAAGUGGGCCGGAUUUUUGAAACUGAAAAAAAAAUAUUUUUAUAUUUGUAAUGAUUUGACAAUUUAGAUUGAAUCAUAUAAGUCCAGAUUUUGGAUGUAUUGGAUGGUACGGUGAAGCGAACGUAGAACAAGAUUUUAAAAGAAAAGGUCCUUAGUUAAACUGCAAAUUAACUCAUGUGAUUAGCUCGUGAUUGUCCACACGGAGGAUCGAAAGUGGUAAGAGAUGACACUAAAGUAUCAAAUUUAUGUUGUCCCGUACUAUUUGGAUUUCAUUGAGGUUUAUGGAGUAAUGUGAAAUCUCAGCGUACAAAAAGGGGCCGCAAUCAAGAAUAUUUUGACUGAUCAAGCGCUUGCAUUUUGUCUUCUUCCUAUUUUUUGUUUCUAAAAUGCCAUCCUAAGGUGCAUUACCAAAUAAAGGCCCACCUGGCAAAUAAGUUUUUUGGAUGUUUGUUUAAAAUUUUACUGUAAUUUACUGUCAAAGUUGUAGAAAAAAUUUUUGAAGUAUGUAAAUUUUUUGAUAUUUUGAUAUGUAUAGUUUAAAAGUUUUAAGAAAUUUUUUGAGAUUAAUAUAGUUAAAAUAAUUAAAAAACUUGUAACAAACAAAUUUGACAAAAAACUUGCUCGCCAAACAUGCCCAAAAUUUGCUUUGACCACUUUGCAGAUCAAAAUAGUCUUCAGAUUUGUAAACAUUAUUAGUUCAAAGAAUUACUCUAGAGUGCAAUUUAGAAAUCCAUUGUAAGCGAGAACAAGCCAUGUAACAAGAUGUCAAACAAACUAAGAAGAAUUUUUUUCAACAAAAGUCCUUUAUUCAAUCUUUAAAAUAUCCUUUUCAUUUGUUCCAGUUGAAAAGAAUUACUCCACGAUCAAUUUUUUACAAAAGUCCUGUUGAAUAUCUGUUGGCGCAUACUAAAUUUAAAAUUGUAUUGUUAUGUUAGGCUUUACUUUCAUUUUGACAAUAAAUGCCUUGUUGUUUUGCCUGAUUAUACUGCAGGAUUACACACUUCAGCUCUGACCAUGGAGUGGUUUAUGUCCCUUAUGCUAAGCCACCUUGAGGUAUUGGAGAAGGCAAGAAAUGAAAUAGACAACAAUGCCACACAAUCAGGGCAACUGAUUGAGGAUUCAGAUCUCUCCAAAUUGCGUGUUUAUGUUGAAUAAUUAAAGAAACAGUCGGACUUUUUCCGGCAGCACCAACGCUUGUGCCUCAUUAUUCAUUUGGGGAUUGCAGUAUAGGAGGCUUUAAAAUUCCUAAAAGGCAAACUUCGUUAGUAAAUACUUGGGUUAUUCAUAAAGACCCUAAUGUCUGGGAAGAACCAAUCAAGUUUAAGCCAGAAAGCCAGAAAUUCGAGGGAUGUGAAGAAGGGUUCAAAUUUCUUCCAUUUGGAAAAGGUAGGAGGGCUUGUCCAGGGACAGCCUUGAGCAGGAGAUUGAUUAACCGGUCAUUAGGAACAAUGCUACAAAGUUUUGAUUGGGAAAGACUGGGUCCUCGGUUGUUUGGAUUUGGAAGAAAAAUCUGGUUUUGACUUUGGGCAAGGGCAAGUCUUUGGAAGCAUUGCGCACAAGCCAGCUCAUCCAUGAUUGAUAAUCAUUUCGCAGCUCCGAGUUAGCUUCCCAAGGUAACUAAAGAAACAUUUAUUUAGUUGUUUAUGAAGAUUGAAUCACGAUAAGAUCGAAAAUCGAUGCGCCCAACGCUUCACGAAAAAAAAAAAAAAAAAGAUGCGCUCAAACGAAAAAGGGGCACCCAAUGCUAAGCGUGUGCAACAGUAAAAAUGAGAGCAAAGAAAUAUAAGCAUGAAUAGUUUUCAGUCCACGCACUUAUGGAUUAAAUAAAAACAUUAUAGAUAAAUAGGCUUUGAAUAAAACUAUAUCUGGUUUUCUUUCAUUCUUUUUUAUUUUUUCGGCCUUCUGAAAUUACUGCAAAUAUCAUCUAUUAGUUCUUUGGUUUCCAAAUUUGUGAUAUAGAACUCCCAUAGUUCAAUAACCUUAAAUGAUUUUCUGUUGGUAGUCAUAAACUGGUUUUGGGGCGUUUUACAACACAAGCAACUGAAAAUACAUACCGCAUGUGUAGGAUGCUAUCAAGUUGAGUCAAACCCAUAUGCACAAGGUUCUUGAGUUCGAGUUCAAAAAAAAAUUAGUUAAACUUGAAUUCGAACUCAAGUUCAACAAAUAUCAUAUAUUAGUGCUCAAUCUUGAUUAAAGAAAAAUAUGAGGAGCUCAAUUAGCUUGUUUAAGCAAAUUGAGCUCGGCAAAAUAAAAUUGUAAUUUGUCCUAAAAAAACUAUUAUGUAGAUAAUUUUACAUUUAUAUUAAAAACAUGUACACGGACACACAGAUUCACACAUAUAUAUUCAACAAGCUUGAUGAAAUUUUGAGUAGUAUUAUGUGGAGAUCUUGAUGUGUUAAGUUCAUGAGUAAAGAAUUGUAUCCCACAUUGAUUUCAACGAAAGAGAAAGAGUCCUUAAUAUGUUAGUAAGGGUUUAGAAUCUAAUAGUUUAAGUUUUUGGGUUAGCGUUCGAUUUCUGACUUAUAUUAUUGGGUAUCUUUGGUGAGCUCUCACGAGUGUUUCUCCCUAAUAAGUUGUAUCAGAGUUUCUAGUUACGGAACUAGACUACUUAUAGGCAAGUCGACUCUUCUUGAAUUUGGACCAGUGAAAUUCUCAUCUUGGUGGUGGAUCAAAGUACCAAGGAAUUUGGUUGAUGUUAGACCAGAUGCACUAGGAGUUUGGUAGGGGAUCUAGUUGGUGUUAGAUCAAGGAGUUAAGGGUUGGUAGGGUCUAAGAUCCGAUUUGGAUGUUGAAGAAGAGUCGGUCCAUGAGUUGAGAAGAGGUGACCUUGAGUGUUAAGGUGCAAGGUGCACUAAGAGUUUGGUAGGGGAUCCAGUUGUUGUUAGGCCAAGAUGCUAAGGGUUGGUAGAGUUCGAUAUUCGAUUUGGAUGUCAAAGAAGUGUAGGUCCAUGAGUUGAGAAGAGGUGACCUUGAGUGUUAAGGUGAGUUUUUAUUAAGUAUUAAAGUGAACUCAGUUGAACUUCUAAACUUGGAUUCAAUAUAAGUGCCACGGGAUUUGAUUGAUGCUGGACCAAGUGCGUCAAGAGUUUGGAAGGGAGUUCAGUUGGUAUUAGACUAAGGAGGUAAGGGUUGGCAGGGGGUUCAAGAUCCAGUUUGGAUGUUAAAAAAGAAUGGGUCCAAGAGUUGAAAAGAUGUGAUUUUGAAUGUUCAGAUGAGUUUGCACUGAGUAUUAAAGUUUCGAAAAAGAACUUGUAAACUUGUAUUUAAUGUGAAUGCCAAGGGAUUUGGGUUGUGUUGGACUAGGUGCACUAGGUGUUCCGUAAGGGGUUUAGCUAGUGUUAAACCAAGGAGCUAAAGAUUGAUUGGGGUUCGAGAUCUAGUUUGGAUGUUGAAGAAGAAUGAGUCCACGAGUUGAAAAGAGGUGACGUUGAAUGUUAACGUGAGCUUAUAUUGUGUAUUAAAGUGGAAUCAAAAUAGAUCUUGUAAACAUGGAUUCAAUGUGAGUAUCAAGGAAUUUGGUUGGUGUUGGACCAAGUUUAGGGGGGGUCCGAGAUCCAGUUUGAAUGUUGAAAAAGAGUAGGUCCAUGUGUUGAGAAGAGGUCACCUUGAUUGUUAAGGUGAGUGUACAUUGAGUACUAAAAUGGGUCAAAGAAGAGUUUGUAAAUUUGGGUUCAAUGUAAGGAGCUACUCAUUAAGGAAAAAAUUAUUAGGUUCACGAGUAAAGAAUUUUGUUUGACAUUGGUUUGAAAGAUGGAGAAAGAGUUCUUAAUAUAACUUUAUGAGUAAAGAAUUGUGUCUAAUAUUGGUUGAAAGAUAGAAAAAAAGUCCUUAAUAUAUAAGUAAGGACCCAAAAUCUAGUAGAUUAAACUUUUAGGUUAACGUUAGAUUCCUAACUUGUAUAUUAGGUCUCUUUGAUGAGGUCUCACAACAAACUUUCAAGUAGUAUUAUGUGGAGAUCAAACUCGAUUUAUCGAUGAACUUGAACUACUUGAAUUCGACUUGACUUUUGAAUUUCACUGAACAUGUUUGAGCCGUUGACUGAGCUGCCUGAUCUAUUGCCUGCUUUUUUUAAAAAAAAAAUCCUAACAAAAAGUCAAGACCUCUAAUUUUUGGACCCUCAAUUUUAACCACUACACUAAACCAAGGCAUCCUUGACCUUUUUUUCUAAUUAUUUUCCUAUCAAAGGAAGGGUAGAAUUUAAGAAACGAGAAAGAAGCAGGUGACUAGAAUUUAGAACCUCUAACUCUUGGGGCCUCAACCCACUUGGCAUUCCAUAAGCUCUCCAUCAAAUACGGCCCCUUGAUUUCCCUUUAUUUUGGGACCCGCCGCAUCCUUGUCGUGUCAUCUCCAUCACUUGCAAAGCAAUGCUUCACCAAGAAUAAUGAUAUUGCCUUUUGCAAACCGGCCUGAUUCCAUUUCCGCUCAGCACCUUGGCUAUAACUACACUAGCCUUGCGUUUUCUCCAUAUGGAGAUCACUGGCGUAAUCUCCGCCGUCUAACGGCCAUCCAUAUAUUUUCUUCACUUACUGUCCAACAAUAUUCAUCAAUCUGGAGAGAUGAACUACGUUUUGUUGUCAAAAAACUGUUCUCAAGUAGCUCUGAUGAGAAAACAUGGAAAGUUGCAGACCUGAACUCUUUGUUCUUGGAAUUGCUUUUCAAUGUGGUAAUGAAAAUGGUUGCAGGAAAAAAAUGGCCAUCCGAACAAUGAGGGGAUAUAUUUACACCAAGAUCGUUCUUGGAAAUUUGUGUGUGUUCCAAUUUUAAGGUGGAUCGGUUUUGGAUGGCUGGAGAAGAGUAUGAUUUACUUGCACAGGAAAAGAGACAAAGUUCCCUAGGGUCUGAUUGAUAAAAUUCGAAAAAAGGAAGGUAAAGAUGUUGCAUGUUCAACCAAGAGAAAAGAUAUCAUUCAAGCAUUGAUGUCUCUGCAAGAAGCUGAUCCUGAAUACUACACCGAUGAAUGAAUGUAAGCCCCUUUUCAUUUCAAAAAUUUCAAUUAGAAUUACCCUCAGUUAUGUUUUUUAAGCAAGAUGAUUCACGGCGUGAUAAAUCUUGUGCCUUGUAACCACAUCCAAGGUCAUAUAUCACUUUCCAGCCUGUACUGUCUGUCAUUGCAGUUGCAGGUUCAACCGCAGACAGCAAUUUGUGGUUUCAAUCAGUAGCUAAUGUGGCCGGACAUAGGCUGCUGAUCCCAAAUGUUCUUUUAUUUCAUUUGCUAAAUUUGAUAAUCAAGCAAACAUUUUGAUGAGGCCGGUGAUUAACUUUCACAGUUGCACCUAGUAAGGAUCACAUUCACUGUGUUGAAAUUUGGGGGCAUGACGUUAAAAUCAUUGAGUUUUACAAAAUUUCAUCUGCAUUAACGGACAAAUCCUCGUUGUUAAGUGUUGCUAAUGGUCAGUAGCUCAGCUUUGAACAACUAUGUUUCCUAUAUACCAUUUUAUAAUUCAUGAUUUCUGUUUCUGCAUGUCUCAAAUUAUUUUUUGGUGGCUCAAAAGGGAAACAGAAAAAUACUAAUAUCCUUGUUUUUACCCUUAUAAAAUUUUUAACAAAGAACAUUAAAUCAUGUUUCCACAAUAAAUACUCCAAUAAACCACUUCAGACUUUAACACUCCAAAUAUAACUACAAAAUCUUUUAGAUACAAAUCGAGGGACAAUCAGGAAAAAAAGUAAAUUGCAACUCGUCAAACAUCAAUUUCUUGAACUGUGAGUAUAACUAAUGAAAAGGAAAGGAAAAAUUAUCCGUAACCUUGGUCGCGUAAAAAGAGUCAAGACUUCAACUGCUGAGGUUCCAGAUUGAUAUGACUUGAUGAAAGAUCUCAAAAACUAGGCAGAUGAAAGCGUCCAGAAAUGAGCUUCUGAAUUCUUAGUUCCAGAUUGAUGUGUGCUGAUGAAAAGGGUAAAAAGAGUCAAGACUUCAACUGCUGAGGCUCCAGAUUGAUAUGACUUGAUGAAAGAUCUCAAAAACUAGGCAGUUGAAAGCGUCCAGAAAAGAGCUUCUGAAUUCUUAGUUCCAGAUUGAUAUGUGCUGAUGAAAGCUCUCAAAAUCUGGGCAGUUGAAUUGAAAGUGUCUAGAAAAGAGCUUUGACGCAUAAGGAGUCGAUUAAUUUGGUGCACUAAAGAAUUUUUUUUUAAGUGGUGACAUGUAUAAGCAUCUAUAUUAUAGUUUAACUGAUAAAAUGGAUAGAUUUUUUUUCUUUUUUUUUACGCAAAAAAUAUCGUAAAGAUCUUAAUCAUAGUUUUCACAAGAGGAGACCAUCAAAUACAUCAGAGGAAUUAAAAACAUGGAUACUUGAGAGAAAUUUCCAAAAUUAUGAUGAUUUUUAAAAAAUUUCUGCAAAAGGGACACUUUGAGUAUGCAAUUCCAUCAAAGGGGUCUUCGCAAUCAGCAAAUACGAGCUCCAUGAGCUCGCAUUUGCUGAAUGCAAAGUCACUCUGAAUUUUUAGACCCACAAAGUCCAAAAAAAAAAAAAAAGAAAACCAGACCUAGCAUUCAAAAAAUGCGAGGUCUGGCACCUCGCAACAAAUUGAAAGCUUUGGUAUUUGCUAAAACGAACUCGUGUUAAGAAGUAGAACCGCUAAAAUUUUAUUGGCAUUGACCUCUCAGUUUGUUUUCUCCUCAUUUGCUGUGUUUUAUGAUCUUUGUGGGAAUUCUUUGCCAACAUUAGUAGUUCCUCUAGAGAACGUCCUUUUGAAACCAGUUAGGAGAUUCUAAAAAUUGACCAUUACUACAAUUGGUGCAAGCCAUUUUGCUAAACGUGAGCUCUAAAAUUUUUUUUUUUUUUGUUAGAGGUAUCAUGAUAUGAAAAAUAUUUGUUCUGUAAGAGAAAAUAAAUAUUUUUUUAAAUAUUUAUUGUAACUAUGAUCAUUUUGCUCUUUUUGACCACUUUGCAUAUUGUCAUUUACUAAAUGCGAGCUCCUAAAAAAAUUAAAUUUAAAUAAUAUUUGUUUUCUUCUAGCGAGCUUCUACAAAAUUAAAUUUAAAAAAGAUUUGUUUUCUUAACAGUACUAAACGCGAGCUCCUAGCGAAUUAAAUUUAAAAAAUAUUUGUUUUGCAGAUCUCUCAUUUACUAAAUGCAAUCUUUAGUAAAAUCUUAUAUUUUUUUUAAAAUAAUUUUUUAUGCAUUCAUUGAGUGUGAGGAGUAAAUAUUUUGGAUUUCGCAUUCGAUAAAUGCGAAUUCAUAGAAAAUUACUUAAAAAAAUUGGGGUACCAGAUAAAUGCAAAUUCGAUAAAUGCGAAUUCGAUAAAUGAUCUAGGAUGUAUUUUGAGUAAUUGGGGGUACCAAAUGUGAUUUUCAAAAGUUAACAUUUCUGCAAAAAUUUGCAUAAGAAAAUGCAGUUCUAGUCGCGUAUUACAGAAAGUGCGUUUUCAAUUCUAGAAGCUUAAGGCAUAAAACGCGACUUGAAGGCGCAUAUUCAUAAUGGCGCGUUUUCAAUUCUGCAAAUACAACAGAAUACGCGACUUGAAGUCGUGUAUUGAAUUCUCCAAGGAAUAAGUUGCGUAUUCUUGAAGUCACGUUUUGAAUUCUCCAAGGAACAUGAAGAAAACGCGACUUAGCAAAAUGUGACUUGAAUGCGCGUUUUGUGAAGUCACGUAUUGUCUCACUUGUACGAAGCUUUAAAACACGAAUUCCCUCUCAGUUUUCUUUUCUCCUUCUUCCAGUCGCGUUUUCUUUCCACUCUUCACACACAAUUCACCAAAUUCUAUUUUUGCUCCAUAUCUUGGUUAAAAAUCAUCAAGCCAACAACUUUUGAGCAUUAUAUAGCCUUUCUAACCUAUUAAAAUCCAAUAAAAACACCUCAUAAUUGGUUUUAAGGAGAUUGAAAGCUAGGGUUUCUAGUUUUUAAUUUCUUCAAUUAGAGGUCAAUUAGAGGGCGUUUCAUAGGGUUUUUUGCACAGUCAUCAUCUCCAAACAUCCUUCUGCAUAAUUGAGGUAAGUUUCUUCAUCAAAUUUACGUAUUUUAGAAAUUGAUAUUUUUCAAUUUUCUGAGCUUUUUGACAUGUUUUAAUUUCGAAAGUUUGAUGAUGUUUAUAGAUGUUUUUGGCCUCUAUUAUGCUUGUUGAUGGUAAUUAAGUAUGUUUACAAGUUCAAAUGUAGCAAAUUGAUGAUUAAUAGUUCUUUAAAUUUUUAAGUUGCUAUAUUUGGCUAAAAUUCGAAAGUUGGCUUGGAAUGUUGUUGAGCAAUUGGUGAUCAAUGAUUAUGGUAUAAAAUGGUUAGUUGAUGAUGUUUUAACAUGUGCAUUGUGUAUAGAGAGUGAUUUGAUGAAUUUUGUGAGUUAUUAGAAUACAUCUUGCUUAACCAUGUUUAUAGCUAAAUGUCCAUUAUUGUUGCUAAAAUUUGGCUGCUAUUAUCUUGAUUAGUGCCAAUUUCACUUAUUUGGAUAUAUUUGUGGCCUAUUUUGAUAUAUUGAUGAUUUUAGUAAUUUUUGACAUUUUGACUAUGUCAUUUCUCUUAUGUCAUAAUAAUGAUUGUUUAACUAUAUUUAUUUGAUUUCUUAUGACAUGGAGGGAUGUAUUUGUGGUAAUUUGAAUCAAUUCAUGUUAUUUAUUGUCAAAAAUAUGAAAUAUGUCUUAGUACAUGUGAAUAAUUGAAUCCUUCUUAUUAGGUACUAUGGCUAGGGGAAAACAGGUUGUAUAUUCAUCCUCUAGUAGUGAUGAUAUGGAGGUUAGUGAGAAGGUCGAAGUAAGUGAGGAGGAGAGGUCACCUUCUCCUUAACUGGUUAAAGGACGACUAGGUGAGGGUACUUCUCGUGGUGCCGAAGCGUCCGUCUUUGACAGUGCUAGGUUUUCUACCCUGAGGAAUCAAGAGUGGCAUGAGGCGCACACUAAUUUGGAGUUUCUUUUUGAGAUGCACGUGAGUCCAGAAGUUAAAAUGGUUGGGUGUCAAUCAACUUGGUUGGGUGUCAAUUCUCACCUUGCCGAUUCACUACUACACUGACUUGGUGCGCGAGUUCUACGGCAACAUUGAUUAUAAAGCGUGCCACAGUGGUGAGAUGGUGGAGUCAUGGGUGCGUGGGAGACGUAUUGUUUUGUCGAGGGAGCGCCUAGCUGCCAUUUUGGAUUGUAACAACCAGGAUCGAGCUAUCGACUUGAAGAAGGGAUUCGUCGCACCAAAUAGGCAGUGGGAUCCAUCACAUGCCAUGACUAGGUUUGGUCUUGAUUACCAACCUUUUCGGUCCUCGAGGAAGGAGACAAUGUUGGCGAGUGUUUUCGAACCUCGCCAUCAUCUCAUUAUCUAUAUGAUGGCCCACAAUGUCAUACCCAAGAAGACGGGACAUACGGAGGUCCGCAAAAGUGACAUCUACUUUCUUGACUACAUGUUUCAUAAUCGGCGGAACUCCUCCUAUGCUUUUGCCGAACAUCAUUAUUAGCCACAUAAGGUCUACGGUGAGGCGGAGAGCGACGUCAUUCAAAUUGGCAUUUCCUCGUCUGCUUUCCUUGGUGUUCGAGAAUUUUGAGGUUAAUUUGCAAGGUAUACAGCAGGAAUUUGUUACACCUAAAACCGAAUUAUAGGUUUCUACCCUUUGUCUUCUCGGUAUUGGCACGGAGAACAUUCCUCGACCUAUUCGAGAAAGGGGACAAAAGGUAAGACAUGGCCAAGAGGAAGCCGGACCUUCUACUACGGCAUCUCCUCCUCCACUGCCAUAAUCGAAUUGGCAGUGACUGUUCACUCGCUUGGACGAUAUCGAGUAUUGAUUGGGACGGAUGGACACUCGCCUGGAGCGGAUCAAGUAUCAUUUGGGCAUUCCUCCACCUCAUGAUGGUGAUGAAGAUGAAGAUGGCGACUGAAGUUGCACCUUUAGGAUGGCUAUUUUGUUGCUUCAAGAUUUGCUUGUCAUUUUGUUUUUAAUCUGUUGGAUGUAGGGUGUUUAACUUGACCUUUUCUGUUUUCAAGUUUUCUGUUGGAAUAUGAAUUGUAUUCAAAUGUUGUUAAUCUUGAGUCUGCUGGCAGGGAGUUUAGUCCAAUUUUAAGCGGAAAUUCUAUCAAAAUUUUUUCAAAAUCUUGUCCAAAAUUAUAAAAUUGCCGCAAAAGGUUUCAAAUUUUUUCGAUUUUAUCCAAAGGGCAACAAGUUCCCUACAAGUAGUUACUCAUAUUCUUUCUACUUUUGAGAUAAAUAUAUAUGACUUUAAAACUUCUCCAUCUAUACCCUAACUGUAAUAGAGAGUCGCUAAUAUCGCACUAAAAUCAAUUGUGCAAAUGAUUACAAAUGAGUUCUGAAGAAAAUUUUAUCUACUACUAAUCCUUUGUAUAUAAAUAACAAAAAGUUAUAUUUCUUCUAUAUUAAAAGAUUUGAUAAUUAUACGGUUGGAAACACCUAAUUUUAUUAUUAAAUAAUUUUGUAAAGAAAUAACUAUACAUGUAUAAUUCUUUAUUUUCACAGGUCAAUAUAAAAUACAAUAAAAGUGUUAAUAUGUUAAGUCUUAACUUUUGAUGAAUAAAAUUCUCUUUUUUUAUACUUCUCAUACGAGAGCAUCAAAAUUUUUUGUCAUAUGUUUAAUAGAAGAAAUUUUUUCUCAUAAGAGAGCAUCAAAAUUGUUCGUGGGAAAAGAGAAUUUCUUUGUAAUUUUAUGAAAGUUUCUAGUUUUGUAAAAAAGGAUCGAUAAGAUAUACGUGAUCAAGUUUUUCUGCUAAUAUUUGGGAAAGUAAAAAAUAUAAACAGGAAAUGACACAAUAAAGUAUUUCAGCCAUAAUUAGUUAGUUUAUACAAUAGCUACACAAUCAGGGUAUCAUCAAUGAUGUCCAAAUUUUUCAUGAGUACCAUAUCCUCUGGGUUUGCGUACUCUUUGUGUUUGACGUGGUUGGUCUUGCAUUACUGUAUCGACUUGAGUAAUCUGUGACUCAAGUAUAGCAUCAUGAUGUUGGGUACUCUGACCUUCAUCUAUACCUCCUGCAUGUUGUGCAGAAGUGUCAUGAUGUAAGUCUUUAUAGGGCGUAAACUGUUAAAAAGUCACUGGGGACCUAGAAUCGCCAAUGGAUGCACUGUGCAGUUGCAUGACUUCAGUCUGAGAUGUGACUAAAGAAGAUGCGUCAACAUGGUGCUCAGUAACCUGUGACCCUCCAUCGAAUCCAAUUUGGAUGGUGGGUUCUGGUGAUCAGAGUCUACGACGUCAUCUACCGCCAUACUGACCUCCGUGAUUAUUCGUAGGAGCUCGUUGAACACGACUUGCAUCUACGUGUUGUGGAAUGCAAGUCGGGAUGACUCUCCUACAUGAUGCAAUGUUAUUGAUACAAAGUACUUCAUUGCAUUAAAAUAAUUCAUGUGCUAUUCGUCACUAUGUGCUAGAGAGUCCUCAGUCAUAUAAUAUACCUGAGACAUAGCAUUCAUCUAGAGUGCAAAUAUUGGAAUGAAUAAGUAUUAAUAACGUUAAACCUUAAAAAAUUCACUACUACAAAAAUAUCCUUUUAUGACAUUUGAAAGCGUCAUUAUAGCUCCAUGUUAUGACGUUUUAACUAUAAUGACGCUCUGUCAGAAGCGUCAUCCAUUCUAACGUCACUAUAAGUUUUAUAACAGUUUCUAUGCGUCCUAAUUUGUAGUUCUUCUGGCACUUAUAAAUGUCAUUAGUUAUCGCUAUUAUGACACUUUGAAAUGACAAGAAAUGCCAAGGCACAAUUGAUGUUAUAUAAACUUAAGUGAUGCACAUAACUGUCAUAUUUUGAAACUAUCUUGACACUUCUGUCAUGUAAGUACAAUAAGAUAUUAUAACACACUCACAUAAGUAGAAUGAAAUAUUAUGAUACUUUUUGGUAUAACUAGAUUAGGUGAUUAUGACACUUUUUAACAUGAAAUUUUGUGAAUAUUAUGUACAAUAAAAGUCGAAGUGAUGACACUUUUAAGUGUUAGUACAGUAUGUUGCAUUACUCCUAUAUACCAUCCGUGUUUUAUACCCAUAAGCAGAAAUCACAUUUCAUCCUGCUUGCAUAUUGUAAAUCCUAAUUUUUGGAAUAAUAAAGUAGUUAGUACCAUCAUAUAAAGGAAAACCAAAGUUAUUUACAUCUUCGUAGUAACUGGUGCAAUACAAUAAUCCAAAUUGGUGCAAAAAUAUAUUAUCUAAGCAACUCACCUUAAAACUAUGUCAACAAAUUACAUGCUAAUUCAGAGAUUUCCCACUAGUGAUGAGUAUUGCAGUAGCAUUGUCAAUAUAUAUAAAGGAAGCAGUAGCUUGACAGGAACUCGACUAAAAAGCAUUAACAAUGUCUUCAAAGAAAUAGCCAUUUGAUCCAAGGAUCAUUUAGUUUUCUUCAAGAUUCACCUACAUAUAUCAUAAACCAAGCAAUUGGAGUUACCAAUCACACAGCUCUUCUUUUACAGUUUUAAUCUUAGAAAACAAAUAAAAACUAAGUUAGAGUAAAGAUUACCAAGUUUAUUGGCCAAGUAAUGGCCACUCCAAUUACAUCUCCAGUCUUGCGAAAAUUAUGGUAUGGCCUCAUCAGCUUUUCAUCACUCUCCACAAACACAUUCACAUAGAUUUUACACCAAUGCAAUCCCAAAGACAUGUCACCAAGACAAAUCAUAGUUUCUGUGAAUGCAUAUUCAUGACAAAUAUUUAGGUAGGCUCAUGAUUAAAAGAGAACCAAAUAUUAGAUUAGGUAUGUCAUUAAAGGUAACUUUUCUAGUAGUAAGCAAUGUUAGAUUGACCCUUAAGUCACAAGGAUAACUAUGCACAUAAGCUAAUAACUUAGAAGAGCAAACACAAGUCAUAAGGAUUUAUGUAAAGUUUUAUUAAAGAAUUCAGUAAUACAAAUUUAGACAUUUAGCGAUGAUAAACAAUUCCAAAAUUAGAGCUACAAGUAUAUAUUGAACACAAGUACAUGGUUUUGGUCAAUCAUGUUAAUCAGAAUAAUGAUUUUCAUCUAUAUCUUGUUGUAAGAUUUCAAUUUAUGAAGUUAAAUGUGCACUAGUGUGUAGUGAACAUAUAUUUCUUACAUUGGACUUACAUAACAUUUAAUAGAAAUUGGAAAAAAAGAAAGACUAAUAGUAAUUGAAACAAGGACAAAACAAGAGGGGAAAAGCUAGACAAAUAUUAGAACCAAGAGUUUUGCCAUUUCCUGUCAGUAGUAUUCUGGUGACCCUAUUGAACAACGUUGCUAGACAAAGACCCAGUGAAAACUAAAGUCAUUAGAAAUUAAACUAACCACUGGAAUUUAUAAAAGGUGUACACUUCAUCACUGUCUUUGUACCUUGUGCAACGAGAAAUUGGGAACAAGAAUAGAACAAAUUUCAUAGUAUAAUGCACUUUGUCCCAACCAUCUAAAAUGUCUUUGUCACCUAUUAAUUUUGUCAAAUUAAACUUAUGAGAUAUUUUAGUUAUACAAACACAUCCAUAAGUAGGUCUAAUAGCACCAAUGAAAUUAGAACAACGCUAACAUAAAUGUAAGAUUAGCCUUGCUUAUGUCAUUCUCCAAUUUAACAUAAAUGUAACAUGAGCCCCGAAAGCAUCAGCUUGGCACCAAAUAGUAAAAGCUUCCUUAUGCUUUUCUAUAAGCAACAUUUUUUUUUCCUCAUUCUUGUAACUGUAAUAUCCAAAUCUUUGAUCAGUAUCUGAAUAAAAACAGACAAAGUGAUUUCCUAAGUGAAGUGAGACUGUGAGAGUGUCCAAACUUUUUAAAAGGCAAGAAACAACUUUACAUAUUGUCUUCACUCAAUAUAUAUCAUGCAUAAAUACUUAAUGAACAAACAAUAAUAUCACAUGACAAGAGUUGCCAAGCUACUGCUUCAUUAGGCAAUGGUCUGAGACAAAAGUAGCUAAAUACCUCAAACAGAAAAUGCAUGUUCAAACUAAAGAUCCGAAGAGAAAACAUAAAGACACAUUCAACCAUGUUGCAGUAUUUCAGUUCUCUAUUCAACUCAAGAUUAGUUUAUAAAAUUAAUUUCAAGAAAAGAAGGCAGAGCCUUGGCAAAAAACUAAAGGGCAUGCUGCUUGGAAGAAUUGAGUAAACUAGAGAGCAAAUCCAUUUGGCCAGCAAUGAAAUACUUGUUUAGUCAAUUUAUCAAACAUGUGGUGGGUCAUGGAUGCUACCAAACUGAUGCUAAAGAAGGCUAUAACAUUUACUCGGAAUCUUUUGACGGCAUCCAAUCAUCAAGAAACUUUGAUACAACCAUCAAGAAACUUUUAUUGUCUGCUAAAAAACAAAAAGAAAAAAUUUCAAACAUGAGAAUGAAUCAAAACAAUGACACAUCCAAUCAACUGACAUUUUGAAGGCAUACUCAAAUAGCUAAGUAGAAGACAACCCUAAAUUGUUGAUGCCAUCUACCUUUUUGCUUAUUUUAGACAAAAUUGGAGAUGUAUAUGUAGACCUAAAGUUAAAAUUAUCUCUUAAAUACAAGAAAUCAAAAAGAAAACAAUCUUGAUGUUAACAAAAAAUUGAAUAAUUGAUAUUCAAUAAACUAAACAAACAUCUUAAUUAUCGUACCUCCAUCAGUGGGAUGAAUCCUAGUUGCUUUCUCCUUGAAAAAUUAGCUGAUUGGCAAGAAAAUUGGCUAAAUUUGCCCUAAAUUGAGAGAAACAAAAGAGGGAGGGACAGGUCACAGUACAGAGAGAGAGAAAAUGCAGCGGGUGAGGAGAGAAGUGAUUAGAUAUGGUAAAUAAGAAAAGGGAGAAAAUAUUAGAAUUUUGGGUGAAAAUAAUUAUACGCUAAGGCAUAGCACCAAUUUUCAAAAUUAAGGGUGAUACGAUAUAGUUUUGUCUACUUUUGGCACCUUUUUAAUGACACUCCUUACUGACUGUCAUGUUAACACCCUAUUAUGACGUUUAGGAAAAUAUGUCAUAAUACAAGUGUCAUUAAAAGCUAUUUUUCUAGUAGUGAUUAUUUAAAUAAAUUUUUAUAAACGGGUAGUGGUUAGGCAAAAACUUACAAGAUAUUGUGCUCUAGCGCUAUCACCCUAAAACCCCUCCGGAAAAGCGGGAUACCUACUUGGAUUUGAAAUAUAAAGCAUUGUCUGCUCUCGAUACCAAUGACGAUACUCAUCUGAUGGAUAUGUAGGAUCUUCAACUACAGCACCGUCUUGUACAUGCACACGCCGAUCAGUCCACACAUCAAUACAUGCUCUAUGCGUAGUUAUCCAGUCUUAAUUCCCUCUUACCAUGAUGAUCUAGAGAAUGUAGGGCUACUUGAUUUUCAGUCAACUUAAGAGCAGGCAGGGACUGAUAAUAUCCAAAUUGUUGUAUAACUGGAUGCGGAAGAUGCGACUCGACAACUUUUUAACAUAUAAGAUAUUGUCACCUCCAAAUGUCAUGACCUGUAGUACAAUAUGCAGGCAAAGAAGUGAGAACAUCCUCCAAAUAUGGCUACCAUAUGAACUGCAAAAAAAAUAAAUGAAUAUGCACAAACCACUAAGUUAAAUUGGUCUCCACAAACAAUUUACUAUAUGCACCAUUGAAUAUUGUCAAAUGAGAAAAGCAUAACAAAUUUAAGCAAAUUUCUGUCAUUUUACAUAUUUUUUAAGAAAAUUUUGACAGCAUCUCCCCCAUAACUGGAAGAAAACUCCCUGCCAACAAAUCCAAUUUUAAAAUAAUCAAAUACAAUCUGCAUCUAUUCAUCUAACAGUUACAUAUUUUAUUAACGUAUUCAAAAAAGGUAAAGUAUUAGAUGUUCAACGUCAUUGCACAAUUACAAUACCUCUUGAGGAUGUAGACCUAUCAACUGAUCUCAAAAUAUUGACACGACAUGUCUUACAACUUUGUAUAGAUAAAACCCAACAUUCCACCUAAAUAGAAUAAAUGAAGAGUUUUUUCAAAACAAAUGAUUGUUAUUUAAAUUACAAAUUAUGGUCACAACUACAAUUGAUGUAUACGCACCGAACUCCAUAUGGACCAGGAUAGUGCUCUAACAGUUGCACUCGAUCAGGACGCAUUGUAGGUAUACGUUCCCAUACCCAUAUCAGUAAUAAAAAUUGGAAUCAUUUCAUAAUUGUAAUAAAAUAAUAAGUAAAUAACCUUACUUUUAUUGAGUGUAAUGUACCUGUAGCAAAACUAAUGGUCCUGCAAUAGUCGAUCUAGAGGGUGAUGUGGCUAUACACAGGAAUCGAUAGAGAGUCACUAAUAUCGUACUACCCCAAUUAUACUGCCCAAUAGUUUUCAAGUCUCGUAGUAAGGGAAGAUAUAUUAACGGGACUUUAUUGUCGAAUUUAUUGGACAAUAAAUUACCACCUAAUAAUAGGAGGAGGUAUAUGCGUGCUCGCUGUCUACAUUCGACAUCCAAAGCAUCGGUUGGCAACUUUGUAUCUAAUGCUCUGGAUAAACACCAUAAUUUUAACCUUUGUCCAUCAAAAUCCGACGGGGACGAAGAAAAACUAAUAAGCUCCUCACAUAUGAGUCCCCAUUCCUGAACACUAUGAGAUUUAUCUAUUCCAGUGAUCGGAGGACUAUUGAUCGGUAAUCCCCAUAGAACCUCUACAUCUUGUAAGGCAACUGUAACUUCUCCAAUGGGUAGAUGAAAGGUAUGAAUCUCGGGCCGCCAUUGCUCCACUAAACUAGUGAUCAGAGCAUGAUCAAUCAUCAUAUAUCCACUCUCGAGCACCCCUUCAAACCCAGUCAAAUGAAAAUAAUGCCAAACAGUUUCGGGAAUAGGUGUAUGCUCCCAAAAAUCCUUAUCACAUCAUCUGACAUAGAGCUGAUUACCCAAAAUAUGCCAGAAAAAUAUGGAAUGUGCCUGAUGUGUAGUUCCUGCCGAGAUAAUAUCGUACACGAAUGGCCCCGGAUGCAGAUCUGCUGGUGCAGGAAUGUCGAUCAUAUCGAUGUGAAUAUCUGCAAGAAUAAGUACAAUAAUGCAAAAUUUGUCAUUCCUUAUAAUCAUAAACUGAAUCAUCAAAUACAAAAUAUUGAAAGAUUCAACUAAUAUAUAAGACUGUAUACUAUAAUGCCUAGAAUAGGAGUUUGAGAACCCAUACUAACUCGACACUUUAAGAAAUACGACCCCUUCAAAAUAAAAAUAUAUAUAUUAUUUUCAUAAUUUAUCAAUAAAUUGUACAUAGCAAAAUAUACUUAUUUCAUAAUGCCUUCUAAUAGGAUUACAUGGGUUCCUAUCUCUAAAUUAUUUCAUUCAAGGUCUAUAAUUCGAGCAAUUUCUUCUAUUGUGACCUAACUGAUGAUAAUUUGUACAUUUUCUUGGUUCCUCUGGAUCUCUCUCAUCCAUCUCAUUCCGAAUUCUUCUUACUCGUACCCUUCCUGCCCGACAUGCAAUAUAUUUACUUUGAUCUAUAUGUAGCUCCCAAUCAGGUUGGAGCCAAGUAUCUGGAUGCGGUAAAGGGUUAAACCUUCCUGAAUACUGCACCGGCCACCACCUUUUUGUAAAUUAAGGAUCCACAAGCAGUCCCAAAUUGUCUCCUCGAUGCCUGCACAUUGUCAUCAUCACGUGUGAACAAGGAAGCCUAUACUACUGCCAUUUGGCACAAGAACAAAUUUUAUCAAAAAUUUGACCGUUUGUGUAUUAUCCCCUUUGCCAUCCAUAUGUCGGUCUGUCACAACUUUGUACAUUCUUGUUGAGACAUCGAACUCCACAAUCCUGUGUAGUCCGGCUUUCUGAUCAGAAUUUUUAAACCGCCGCCAUAUCUUUGGAGGAAAAGGGUUACAGUAAUGUCUGGCAUUCUCACUUCUCGUUUUAAACGACUCAACUGUCCGAUAAAAUGUCAUAUUGAUACAAGCCCGAAUUGGCAAAUGAUGUGCCCCUUUAAGUACAUUAUUAUAGCUUUCGGAUAUGUUGAUUAUAAGAAUACCUCAACGAUGGCCACCGUCAUGUGUUAGACACCACUUUCGGGUCCAAUGUCAGACAAAUAAGUUCAUGCAUCAGAAACAUGUUUCUUAUUUCUCGUUGGAACCCUCGCCACUUGCGCAAUUGUCUAGUUUUUUCCAUUGCUCAACAUAACCUUUUAAGAUGCAAGCCUUUGAAGUGUGUCAUUAGUUUGCUCCUAACGUGUCGUAGGCAAAACCUAUGAAACGCCAAAGGUUCUUUCCAAUAAUCAAACUGUGUCAUGGCAUGGAUGAUACCAUUAUAACGAUCCAAAAUGACACAAAGAGGAUACCGGUCAUGAGCCACAUGGUAUCUAAAUUGUUCCAUAAACCAUGACCAACUAGAAAUAGUCUCUUCAUCACCAAUGGCAUACGCAAUUGGAAUUAUCUUGUUGUUGGCAUCUUGCGUAACUGCAACAAGUAGUUUGCCUUUAUAUUCACCAAGCAAAUGAGCGCCAUCGUCCAAAAGCCCAGAAUACAAACUUAAAUGUUUUUACUCGAUCUGUGCUUUUCGAAUGGUGCUACCACUUGACCAUAGUUCCCGGAUUUGACUGAACAAGUGCAUCAAUAUAUUUUGGUAGUUCAGCAAAAUUGGCAUCCCAAGAUCUAAAUACAAGUUCAAUAGCUUUGCGUCUGACAUACCAGGCCUUUUUGUAAGAAACAUCCACCUUCAUGCCUUCCUUAAUAUGACUCAUUAUAUUCUUAAUUUUAAAUCUAGGAUCAUCUUCAAUGCUACAAAGUAUGUGUCUAGCAAUAACUGAAGAUGUGAGACUUGUAUUGCUAUUACUCAUCAAAUCACUUAGACAAUUGUAGUUGUUGACCCAUUUGGUUAUUUGCCACAACCUAUGAGUCUUCUUUUUCACUGUUCUAACACACCAGUCGUAUGCCGGAUACGAUGGGACGACUGCAGUGCUAGUACUCCUAUCAAAUGCAGAUUUGCAUUUGGCAACCCACGUGUUACUCUUGCUCUCAACCACCCUGAACUCCCUGUUAUGAUUGAUAGACUACAUCCUAAUAGCUCUACUGAGCUGGUGUUUGCUCUCAAACCUUAUAUGUAGGCAUAUAUUAUUAUUCUUCUCACUGAAUGUAACAAUGUGCUCUAACUCACUUUUAUUAGUGUGUUGGUCAUCAUCAUCUAUGUUUCCAAGGUCAAAGAAAAAUCUAAGACCUCUUGGAACAUAUGAGAGGCCCAUAAUUGCAUUGUUUGACCUACUAUCUCCUCGCUCAGUAUUCGCAAUGCUCGUACCAUUAAUGAGCUGUUGGGUCUCGAGAUCCGGGUGAAAACCACAAGCUUCAUGUUCGUCAUCUGAGCUAUUGUCGGACGCAUCAAUCGACUCAGAUUCUUCUAUGUCUUCUGCGUCAUGUUCCGAAUCAUCAUCUCCUCUAAAGCAGGGAGCUUGUCAUGUCCACUGGCAUACACAUUAUCUUCAGUUGUUGUUGGAUGACUUAGACCAGGGGUGGAAUCUAAGCCAUAACAAGAUAAAUGAUACGGCGAUCCUGGAUAUCUACAACUUGGAAUCGAGUCAAGGUCGUGAACAUAUUCAACAUCACGCCUUAACCUUGAUGUGAUGCUUGACUCUGACGAGUCCCUAUCCCAAUCUCCAUGUGUAUAUUGAGAGGCCGAUGCAGCCUCUGAUACUACUGUACUAGAGUGGGACCGGAACCUUGUUGGAUCCAUGCAUGCAUGGACAAGCGACAUCAUCGGACCAACAUUGUUAGUUGAUGGAAUGAUUACGCUACUGACUGGAGGAUUUUGGGAAAUUUCCUCCCUCGAUAUAAAGCUCGGCUAUGCAUGGAACAAUUUCGUUCCAUAUAUCGUACAUUAUCUCCAGAGUUUCAUCAUCCACCACUGUGAAGACAUUAUAAGAGGUACGGCCACACGGUUGACGGAAAAAUAAAUUCAACUUGAAUGUCCCCUGAUCGACCCCCAUAUAUUAAUAAAUUAUGUCAACCAACUCCUUAUAUCCAAUUCUAUGCCGCAAUGUGAACGUAUGGUUGGAGGUACGAGGCAAGUAACAAAUUGACCCAUUCUUGUAAUGUAUUUUACCUCCCCAAUAAAGAGACACUCGCAGAAGUCUUUCUACAGACAUAUGUGCGAAAUGAAUCCCUAUUUUGGAGAAAAUAAAUUAGAAUUUGUAAUACAAGAGUAUGGAACAAAUGACUAUUGGAUUAGGACUCUCUUCAAAAUAAUUUUCGCAUCAUCUCUCCUAAAUAUUAGCUCAAACUUUUCAUUAACCAUUGACCAAUUUUUUUUAGCUAUCAAUGCACUGUAAAUAAUUACUAUUUCUUAACUAGCUAAAGAAAACACUAUAUUAAUUAUAUCAUGCAUAUAAUAGAAUAUGAAACUACAAUAAUUUGGAGGAGAAUUCAAUAUAUCAAUGUUAGAAGCAGCCUGCUUGUAAAAGUUAAUUUUUUAGUUAAUUUUUUAUAGAAUUUGAAAGCAUAUUUUAAGUUAAUAUUCCCUCUAACUCCCUUAUAAAUUGGCUAUAAAUUUCGAUAGAAUGUUAUUCAAGAAUUCUUAUUCUGCAAAAAAAAAAAAAGAAAGAUAAGUUGAUUAAGUUCAAUAGCUUUCCUUGUUUUAUUUCACAUUUCAAAACACCUCUUUUGAGUCACUAUUGUCACCACUCCUCAAAAAUACUUUUAAGUUAAUAACUAACCAAAAGAGCCCAAAAUUAUAUCUAAGCAUGUAAAUGUCAAACUUUUUGAACAACUUAGUAGAAUUUUUGAAAAAAUUUCGACAGAAUCUCCCCUAUAACUACGCUAAAACUCCUUGCCAACCAAUCCAAGCACGUAUCAAUUUUCAAAGCUAUUUUAUUUAAUCGCCUAAAAUAUUAUGAUGCAUUCGCCAAAUACAUCUACAUCCACCAAAUUCAUCAAAUUCGUCAUCUUUAUGGUUCAAAAGUAAAACUACAUAAAAGACCAUUCAAAUAAAAUAAUAAAGCCAAAACAAAAUGGUCAAUCAAAAUUUUCAAAUCCCCGGUAAUUUGGUCAAAAAAAGAUGUAUAUCUCAUUCUGUCAUGUUUGAGACAACCGGAGGGAUCAAAUAAAACCUACUUGUUCAAGUAAAAUGAACUUGUUCAUAUAGUUGGACAAAUAUCGUAAAUAUAAAGAGAGGCAACUUUGUUAAAGUUGUAAACUUAUAAAUUUACCUAAUAAUUAGUCUCAGAUUCCAGAGAUGCACUCCAACAGAGAUUUGAUCCUACUAUUAUCAACCAAAGCCUCUUCAACUGAUAAUGUGCUCGUGUCACCAACUUUGUGUGCAUCUGUAUGAACAUGAUGGAGUUAAUGACGAAACAAAAAAAAAUUUAAAAAUUAGUCGUAGCAUGUAUUUGUCAAAAAUUUUUAAACAACUUUGAUAGUUUUUAAAGAGAUUUUGACAGAAUCUCCCCUAUAAAUGGGUUAAAACUCCCUGCAGCUGAACAAAUCACAUCAAUUUAGAACACUGCAAACUGUGAUCUCCUAUUUUGCUGUAAGAGUUGAUUGCAAGGGUUAAAACUGAAAAUUCUGCUAAAAUGUCCAGGUUUAACAACAUUGCCCCCUCUAGCUUUUAAAUUGGACUUGAACUUUUUCAUUUGCAUAAAAAUGAAAUUUAUAAGUAAAAAUUCAACCUACUCGAAUGAAUGAAUUCGAUAAACACUCAUUCAGGUCCAAAAUCCAACUUAUUUGAAAAAUUAUAGCCUUUGGUCAUGUCUUUCAUAAUAUCUUCCAAUUUUCUAUUUUUAUUUGUACUUUGGUCCAAUAAAUCUGACCUUUUAUUAGGUCCAUUUUAGAGAUUUCUGAGUUAAAGUCUUCUUGUUCCUUUUUUUUGUUCCCCCUCGAGGAUGAUCCUUUGGUCAUUGUGACUAUCUUACGGCCCGUUCAAUUGGAUAACAUCCACAAACAAGAACUUGUACCAAGCAUUCAUUACCAGUUUGUAUUUGUUUAUCAUAAUAGAAAGUUGAAUGGACUCAUAAAUGGCCCAUAUUUUUGUCAAUUCACCAUUGUAUUGGCUACCUAAACGUCCUGCAUCUCCUCCCACAUCUUAUAGUAUUAGUUAAUUGAGUUAAUAAAAAAUUGGGCCCUGCUUUCUGUUGCCUAAUGCUGGAUUAGUGCAAACAACUUAAAAUCCAAAGAUGUCUGUAAUCUCUAUGAUGCACUGUAUUUACCUUCAAAUCCAAGUUCAUGUACAACUUACAAAUCUAUUAAAUUAGGAUUGAAUGUCCCAAACUCAGGAUUUAAUAGAAUUCCUAAUCCUCAACCCAUUUUCAUCUACUAAUACACUGGUAUCUCAAUUUGUCAUUAACCUAUUAUGUUUGUUCUCAAAAUCUCCUUCAUUAAUUGUCACUCCAGCUAACAUUUUCAUCAAAUAUAACCCAACUCAGCAGUCUUGACCCCUUAAACCACUUUCCAGGCUAGGAUAUACCGCCACAAUUAAUGAUACCAAAACAGAGGGAAUGUAUUAAAUGUCAAUGUUGCUUUGUCAAAUUUCCUCCACCAAGGCAAAUUAUGCAUCGGACAAUUAUCUUUUGAUGGGACCAAAUUUUUGUCAGCAAUUGAAAUUCUGAGCAGUCAAAUUAACUGCCGUGAUUCUUGAGAGAGCAGGCCAUUAAGGAUAGUGAUUAAGAACUAUAUGUUGAGCUUAGUCCCUAGCUUUUGAUGUUUACAAAACAAUGGAUGAUACUAAUAUCUUUUCAAGAAAUACUUUCAACUAUGAAACAAAUCUGAUUCAAAAAACAAGAGCAUUUGAAAGAGAUAAAAGAAGUUGAAAGCUGUCGGACGCUCGCGAAGACAACAUCGGACGUCCGAUAAACAAUGCAGCACUUCGAACACAUGAAGAACUCCAUCACCGGACGUCCGAAAGAAUUAACAUGAUUUCUCAAACUUACUAUUUAUAUAAAUAGCGCAUGGUCAGAAACUUCAAACAACUUUUGCACACUGAAGAUACAAAAGAUAUAGAGUAGUUUUAGUGAAAAAACACUCUCCAAGGAAGAUUUGUAAUCUUGGUGGUGUGAAAUUCAUUGUAAGCUUUUCAUUUAUAAGUGAAUACUUCAAUAGUGUAGCUCUGUGAGGGUUGUCCUGAAGGAUAGUAAAACUUCCUAACUUGACCGAGUAGAAUUUGGGACAAGGAGGAAGUGAGCCUUCCUUUGUACACAAGAUUGGUUAUAUUUCAUCAACUUGAAGAAGCUUGUUUGAAUUGAUCUACAAGCUCAAGAGGAGCUUGGUAGUCAAAUGGUUUGCAAUUCUUCAUUUCUUAUUUACUUAUUGUUAUCUUGUGAUCUUUAAAUUGCUUAUAUCUUCUACUUCUCUCAAGUAAUUUUGUUCAUUCAUUGAUUGAUUCAUUAUGUGAUCACUUAGAAAAGAGGGUAAAUUUUAUAUUGAGCAAAAAGUGCCCAUAAUCUGAUUAGUUUCUUAAUCAACCUAAUUCACCCCUCUCUUAGGUUGUCUUCGAUCCUUACACUAUAAAUAAGUGGGAUUUUGUAAUUUUAACUCCACAAUAAGAACAUUUGUAUUCUCUUCAUGUCCUUAAGAACAUCUGUACCAUUAAUGAACAUUGAUGUUUAACAAAAGAAAAAAAUAACGAUUAUUGGUAGCAUUCCUUUUUCACCAGAAAAAGAAACAAAAUCAAUAACUACGGGCAUUUCAGCAUCUUCUUCCGUCACUGGCCAUAGCAUCAGAAAGCUUACCUUGUUCACCGAAAGAUGGCUGUAGCUUCAACAUUUUCCGGUCUCCAUUUUGCAGCUUUUCAGCCCUUCAACUUUCCGGUCUCUGUUUUGCAGCUUUCUGGCGAGAGCUUCCGAGAUGACCAGAGUUGGACUCCUUCCCUCCAACGGCUGCAUUCUUGAUGAAUGCUGCUGCUUCCGAGGAUUUCAAUGGCGAAUUUGGGAUGCAAUUUCCCCUCAAUUUGUAUUUCCCAAUUUUGUUGUUUCUUAUGGUUUUCUGGUUAAAUGAGUCAAAGAGAGGACGGAGGUUGAAGGAGCUGGGUUUUCGUUUUUGAUCGACAGACAAAGGACCUCACAUUUCUCAAAUGCAAGGUCUAUUUAAAAAAAAAAAAUGCUACUUGGCUUUUUGUUAGCUCGCAUUUGCUGAAUGCGAACUAAGCUAGUUCGCAUUCAGAAAAUGCGAACCACCUAAUUUUAGAAAUUACCCCACAAAUACCAUCUCUUGUAGAAAAACUUUUUUUUCCAUAAUAAUUUAAGAAUUUACUCGGAUAGUUGAUUGGUAUUAUAAGAUAAAUCCAUGACGAAGUAAGGGAAGUGGAGGUCAUUCCAUGUCAUUAGUUAGGCAGCGUUGAAAGAUCCCCUAAUACUUCUUAUAUGACAAAGGAGAGUCACAAGGGAUAAAGGUGAUCAAUCAAAAUAGGAAGUUGACAUUGGACUACAACUACUUUUGUUCCAAUAAAUACAUAUUUUUAUUUUGCAUAUAUUUUUUAAACUAAACAUUAGUAGUUUGUCCAAAUUAUGUUUACAGCCGGAAUACAUACUUCGGCCCUGACCAUGGAGCGUGCAAUGUUCCUUCUGUUAAAUCAUCCUGAGGUAUUGCAGAAAGCAAAGAGUGAAAUCAACAACCAUGUUACUGAUUCAGGGCCUUUGUUGGAUGACCUUGAUCUCUCCAAAUUGCCAUAUUUAUGUUGCAUAAUAAAUGAAACACUAAGACUUUUACCUCCAGCGCCAAUUCUUGCACCUCAUUGUUCAUCUGAAGACUUGGGCCAUUCCCAGACCCCAACUUAUGGGAAGAGCCAAGCAAGUUCAAGCCAGAAAGGUUCGAGGGUUUGGAUGUAGGAUUUAAAUUUCUUCCAUUUGGUAAAGGGAGAAGGGCUUGUUCAGGAGCUGCUAUGGCUAUGAGAUUGGUUGGGUUGGUAGUGGGAAAUGUGAGAACCUUGGUUCAAUGCUUUGAGUGGGGGAGUGUAGGAUCUGAAACGGUAGGCUAUAAUGAAAAAUCUGGCCUCACUUUUGGUAAGACCAAGCCUUUGGAGGCAAUGUACAAGCCUUGCCCUCCCAUGAUCAAUAUAAUUUCCCAGCUUUGAGUUAGUGUUGCAACUUGUUUCUUGGUGUAUACCAAAAUCAAAUGAAAAUAGGCAACUUUUUCUAAGGUAUAUUUGAAUUUAGAUACAUGCACUUGCUAAGGAAAUAUGCAAGAGACUAUAAUAAUUGAAGAGUAAUGUCGUGGAAAGAAUUCUCAAACUAUGCAAUGAUGUAGGAUAAAACGAAAUAUUGGUAGUUGUUUAUACUUUUUUUUUAAUUUUGAGUUUCUCAUCAUACUACAAAAAUAAAAACCUAUUUUUAUUCUGACGUACCCAUAAAAUUCCUUAAGGCACAAGUUUGUUAGUAGAUGCUUCGGCUACUCAUAAAGAACCAAAAGUUUGGAAAGAACCAAACAUGUUUAAACAAGAAAGAUUUGAGGGAAUCAAUGAAGGGGAUGUGAUGAAGGGUUAGUUAUACUUUGAAUAUUUUUACAUUUUUAACAUUUUAUUGGCCCUGGUUAUCAUAUAAAUCCAGAAGAAUGGCAAGUCGUAAUUUAGGCUUUUACAGUGCAUUGAUGUAGCUGAUGGUUUGAACAUGUAGCUUUUGCAAGAUAUUGCUUUGUGGAGUAACUUUUACCUUUACUUGGAAGUUUUCCAUUUCUUUGAAAGCUAUAAAAAAAUUUGUGACAACACAAAUUUGUUCCAAACUUUUACCUAUAACAACUAACAAAUACAAAUUUGUUUCAAAUACAAAUUUUUUUUUAAAAAAAAUUAUCUAAGAUGUCAUACUCAAUAGGCACUUGCAAUGAGGUAAUGUAACGUAAAAUCAAAGAGCAAUUUUAAGUGGAUGUGACGAGGCCUAGACGACAUUUUUACUCAAUUCCUAGGCUGCAGUAAGCAGAUCUAAAGGACCGUUCCAAAUCCCCUAAUUUGGCCUGGAAAUAUAGCAAUCUUGACAAUUUUCUCAAAAAAUCUGGCAAAUUUCACUCAUCAGCUAGCAACUCCCAUAAUAUAGCAACCUUGAUGAUUCUUAUCCAAAAAUUUACUAGCAAUUUUUACUCAUCAGCUUGCAACUGUUCCCCAAUUCUUGACAUAGCUUAUACGACAUGAUGCUGCUUAACCAAAACUGAAUGAAGCUGUCAGCAUUUACAAGGAACUUGGGUCAGACUUCGACCAAGAUCAAGUAAACUACGAUCUCGGUUCUAUUGUGUCAACAACAAAUUGGAACCUAAGCACUUGAACAAAUAUUGAACAUCCCAAUAUGCUCUGUCAAAGGGAUUACUGACCGCAUCAAUGUGUACGGACCUGGAAUGCUGGGAUCCCAACCUUCACCACUUUUACUGAAACCUCUAUAGUACAUGAUAACACCAUUACAGUAAAAUAUUUGUGCUCAAUACAGCUAGUCAAGUUGUUUCGUCCAGUCAAAUGGAUCCCAAUCUUGGGCAAAAACAGCAACAGCUUGUUUCUGCAUCUCCAACGAUAUAUGCUUCUGUCGACAGUGCAUGUCUCCAGCAGGCAAGCGUAGCAUACCUCUUAUCACAUUUAGGCCAAAGUUGCUCUUAAAUUGCUUUUCAUCAUCAAUCACGUGAACGAAUCCCUUGUCUAGGCCAAAUUCGACAUGAAAGUAAGGGAAGUUCUUUGGAACUGAAGCACGGAGGCCCUUCUGACUGGUAUCAAUCAGCUUCUUGGCAUUAUGUUGACUCCACUCCUCCUCUGCCUCAUCAAUUGCCUGUGACAUAUCAAAAAGUAGCCAAAUGUUAACUAUCCAAGCAUGAAACUCGAGCAGUUUUUUACUUUAAAGACAUCAACAUGUUAAACCAAAAUAAUCAAUCAAAAAGAUCCGAUUCAUCAAUGACUAACUAAUCUAUAAACAACAAACAACAGGAGUAAGUACGAUUGGUUUAGUAAGGAAAUUCUUGCUCUAAAAGGACACAAAAGAGAAUUUACUCUCUUCAGUUUUCAAGUACAAUCAUAAGAAUAUAGAUUUACUUCCAACAUGUAACAAACAUCUCAUAUGUCUCCUUCUAGCUGAAUCACAACUAUCAGAGUUGGAUAGAACACCUACACCAGAUCAUGACAAAUUAUUUUUAAGGUUUUCUGAUGCACAAACUGAGUUAUUCAUAAUCAUCAUUGCUCUCCAUACAAAUCAAUCAAUUUCUGCUUUUUCUUUGCAUGCCUUGAUCAAUCAACAAUUUCGUCAAGAACUCAAAGGACUACUUUCACACUUGAUUCAGGUAACACCUAGAAAAGCUAUUGCAAGACUUCUUAAACAGUUAACACUGUCAAUAAUAAAAAUGAAAAGUGGACACCACCCUCCAUGCCCUUAUCUACGCAGCAAACUCCAUAUCGUUAAACACUUUAUCAUACCAAACUAAACACCACAAAAUUUUGGUCUAGAAGGAACCCCAUGAGCUCCAAUUUAUAUUUUUCUCCAAUCUUCAGCAAGUACUGAUUGGUCAAAAUUGAAAAAGAAUUAAAAAAAAAAACACAUUCACACACACGGAUAGCCUCCAGAGUCAGGAUCACCUUUAAGAUUAACCAUCAGAAUGAUGCAAAAAAAAAGAAGAAAAUGAAGAAAACUAACCUUCUUGAAAUACAAAGGUGCCUGUUUUGCAUCUUCAUGGGGCAGCGGAAUGCAAUCCAGCAAACAAUGGCGGCGUUGCUGUGCCAAGCCCAUCACUGUUUCAAGAAACACAACAUCCUUAUCCUGCUUAGCAAACAUCAUUAUCAGGCACUUCUUGAAAUUCCGGAUUUCGUCCCAUAUAUUGUUGUCUACAGUUCUUGUCCGAGACUCAUGCUGCACAUGUCAAAAACCAUUGUUAGUGCUGUGGGAUGAUGACAAUAAUUACAAGAUCAACUCAGCAGCAAAGUCAACUUUCUUUCGUUUCCUUUUCAACAUUAUUAGUGCGUAAAAACUUAAAUGUCCAUCACAAAGUUCUACAUGGCAAGCAGAACGAUAAUCUGGGUUACCAAGGUUUCACAUUUUUCAGCAACUAAUGAACUGUUAAUUUGGAGUAUAUUACCUUUUGCUGCCCUAUGGAUUAAGCACAAACACUUGUAAGAAUAUAGCCUGAACCCCAAUUUGGUUUUAAAGAUGCAAAUGCACAACCUUCACUAGGGCAUACAAGUAGCUAUAACAUAUCAUGAAACAUCUGUAAUGCAUAUCCAUUCUGGUUCUCUUAAUUGGUUGUUUAACUGAAAAAUGCAGACCUAACCACUUUGUUGUAUACAGGGUAUCUCUAAAAGAAAGGAGAAAGCAAUUCCUAUGAGUCUAAGUUUGUGAAGCAGAGUGCUGAGAUAUCUCUAAAGGAUUAGGGACAUGCAUCUUUAACAUAUAACAGACUAGAAAAGAGGCAUUCUUCGUACACGCUCAAACUCCAGAAUUACAGUGGAGCAAUCCUGCUCUGGUCUAGAUAUAAACUGUAAAUAUGGGGAGAGAGAGAGAGAGAGACAGUUCACCUGCAUAGUUAAAAUGCAGCAAUGACCAGGGACAACAGGCUGCCAAUGAGGUAAUGAUAAGUAGGUGAAAUUUGCAAUGGCAACAACAAGAUGCUUUGGUCUCACUGGAUUCUCAAAACAAAAUUGACACCUCUCUUUCUGUGUCAAGAGGCGAUUUGCAAUCCUAGUUGCCUGACUUAUCUCAUUUGGUUUUUGGUCUGUACCCAUUCCUUUGUGCCGAGUCUUUUUCCUUGGACCAUCAUCAUAAUCAUACUCAUCAUCUGCCUGACCAGAGAUGUUAUACUGCUGGUUCCACAUUAUCUUUUGAGCCAGAUACAAGUCAGCGUCCUCCUCCUUCAUCUUUUGUCGAGCAGAUACACCAUGCAUGAUAUAUCUGCUUGUGCUCCCAUCAAUCCGUGGUCUGUGAGACUCAUCCUCAGCAUCUGACUUUGCCUUUGUGUUUUCAGCCUCCACAAGUUUUUCAGCCUCUUCAUGCUUCCCUUUCAUGUGAAGCUGCAUGACUUUGGCAGCCAACUGGUUUGCCGUCAAUGCUGGCUUCACAGUUGGACCAUCUUCACCAUGUCUUUCAACCAAAUUUGAUUCCACUAGUCUGUCAUUUUUUGCAUUUGAAGAAUUGACAGGAUCAUUUGAACUAUCAUUUUUCUUUUGCAUAAAGUCACGCAUAAAGCUUCCAUCAUUGGAAAACUUAUUUAAGCUAGACACUGCAGCAGAGAGGUUGAUAUCCUGAGCAGGCAUCUUACGCUUUCCCCAGGAUAAAGAAUCCUGAACUUUUGGUAUUCUCAUAUUAGCAUGGCACGAAGACCCAUCCUGCAAAAAGUUACUGUUAGGAUUCUAAAACUUAUCAAGAAAGGGAAGAAAACCAUCCAUAAAGAAAUAUGACUGGGAAAAUCUGGGAAGUUUUUGAAAAAUUACCAAAAACUAAUCACAUACUUCUUUUGAAAUUGGAAAAUUUUGUAUCAUUAAGCCAACGUCUUUCAGAAACAAUACAGUCUGGAGAAACCAUACCUUCUCAAUAAAUAUUCCCUUGUCUCUAUCUGCAUCUGUUUGUUCUCCGUCCUUCAGCCCUCUCCUCCGACUUUUUAUCGCAUGAAGAUGAGCAUGAUUUGGUGCCACUCUAUGGGAUGCCACAGAAACUGCCAGCUCUCCAAGAGAGCCCCACCGAUCUUCAACCACCUGUACAAAGUUAGUUCAUUACACAAUACUAGCUUGAAUGAAGAAUCUUCAAAUAAGAAACCUAAGACAAUCCCACAUACCUCCUCAAGCUUCCGUCCUUCACAGGCUGCUUGCUCCUGAGCUCGUUUCAAUGCUUUCAACCUCCAGCUUGCACCUCCAUCACCCACAAGUGAAGAAAAAAGAACUUGGUUCUGACAAGCAUUAACAUCUGAAUCUUCUGGAUACCCACUACCAUUAUUCUUCAAAUAUGGAUUCAAGUCCCUGGGAUUCAUCUUCUUAGUCUGAACCAAAAAAUAUACCAGGAAAUAGAAUAACCAAACUGUAUUUGAAAAUGCAUGAUAACAGCAAUUUGGCAUCUACAGAUAAAAUCAGCCCAGAGAACAAUCCACAACAGGCAAGAUAAACACUCUCAACGUUGACAAGAAAACACAAGUAUUGGCAGAUCGGUCAAACCAAUCAUAUAAAAAAUUACAUGAAGGCACAACUCAACUGAACAAAAGCCACAGGGCAAUGCUUCCUGCAAGAACAUGUAGUUUUGUGCAUAGACGAGUUGAUUUCAGACCCAAAAAUAAAUAAAUAAAUCAAUAAAGCACACACACACACAAGUUUGGAGAAAAGAACUAAAUAAAAAUGGAAAAAAUCCAGAAGGGAAUUUAGAUUAUCACUUUGAAUUGAGAUUGACUCAUUCAAGGUCAUCCAGGAUUGAAAUGUUACCAUUGCUACUAAGCUAAUAGCACGUGAGAAUAUACUACAAAAGAACCAAGUCCUUAAUCCAAUUACUCCAAGAGAGCCGUUAAAGCCUCUCCAAGUGUCUCUAGUCUCCCCUGUCUCAUUUUUAUUGAUCCUAAAUGCUUGUUCUGUCUAUUAUCCAUUAACACCAAAGUUCCUCAAACUCCAAUUACCAACAGGCAGCCCCUAUCCAUUUCUCGUCUACAAAAAAGAAGAAAGCGGGGCAAACGAUUGAACCAAAAAUGUCAAUUUUUUUUUUUUUUUUUUUUGGGCGAACCAAAGCACAUAAAAGUUCCUUUACCAACUGUUGUUCCCAAGGUUUCUCCAUCAACAAAAUUCUGGCCUUUUUAAACUAAAACGUUGCCGCUACAGUAUGUUCAAUGGUAGAGAACAAACAUCAGAUUUACGCGUUUGCAGAUUUUACAUUAAAAAAAAAAGUCUAAAUAAUUUGAAAGCUAACCUCUUCAGGUUCAACCUGAACCUCCUGUUGCUUGUCCGAAACCGUUGCCGGAGUCUUUUCCAUGGUAUCCUUCGGUCGCAGCAUCCAGUCCAAACCCAUCUCUUUCCUUGAAAUAUCUCUCAAGUUCUGGGAUUCAGAACCUCCACCAUUAUCUGACCAAUUUAGCAAAAGAAUAGACAGAUUAGUGGAGUCAAAUAAUUUCAUCAAUGAAUGGAGACUUUCACCAUGAUUUUCAGAUACUUUCAGGGUAUAAACAAAUUUUUUUUUAAAAAAGGGGGAAAAAAAAAACCUUACCCGUAUCCCAUUUACACGAGAAAUUGCACAGAAAGGCAGCCAUAACAAAUCAAUCUUUAACCCAAAUUUAAUUCUCUGUUUGAAGACUCUUCACUAAACAGCAAGUCGGUAGCAGAAAUUCAAGAGAAGGAGAAGGAAAAAUAAAAGGGCGAAGAAAACGAGGAGGCUUUCAUAUCAUAUGCGCGGUGGGUGGUGGUGAAAUUCGAAGCAGCGAGGGAGAAUAGAAUAACAGACUCGAGUUGGAAACCUCCCUCGAAGAGGUUUUUGGCGGUGCUUCACAAACCUCCCUUGAAAAAGUUUCCAACGGUAUCUUGAAAAAGUUACCAACGGUAUUAGUACUUUUUUUUUUGUCAGAUUAGACAUAGCCUAUCUAUCCUAAACUACAGGAAAUGAGAGCCUAAAAAGGCUUUGUAUUAGGAACUAAUAGGUACACAAAUUUUAUUAGAUCAAGGGAGUAUUUUAGUACAACUCUUCGAUUUUUGUGCCGCAUGUUAGAUUUAAACCCCUCACCUACAGCACAAGAAGGGAUUUAACACCUUGCGACUGAGCCAAGCACAGUAGUUUCUAAUGGUAUUAGUCAAUACCCUUAAUUUUGAAAAAUCUCACUUCUCUUAAUUAUUUUUGGAAAAAUAGUCAUUUUCGUCCCUAAACUUUUUUUGUCCGUCAAUUUAGUCCCUAACUUUUAUUUUUAGCCAAUUUAAUACAUGAAUUUAAUUUUCGGAUCUAAUUAAGUCCUUUUACGGCGGCGCCGCCACUUAAAAGUAAUUUAGCUCCUAAUUUAACAUUAAACAAGAGCAUUUUGAGAACUUUGAAUUAUCUCCUCUCCACUACCAGCCUCCGCCACCAACCACCCGCCUCCUCCUUCAUGAUCGGCGAUUUUGGAAUGCCAGCAACACCAGUAAUCCACACUUUGGCAAUUUGGCAACCCCGGCGAGGCCCCUGCAAUCUCAAGACCCCACCAACGAAGAUGAACCACCACCACCACUGCCACCCAGCAGCUGCCCCUCUCACCACUACCACAGCCACAACUACCCCAAGAAAACCAACCUUCUGUAAGGAUCGAAGACAACCAAUCGAAAAGUCAAUUGAUAAACAAUUAAAAGAUCACAAUAUAACAAUGAAUAAAUAAAAGGGAAAGAAUUUGCAAACCAAUUAACUACCCAACUCCUCUUGAGCUUGUAGAUUAAUUCAAAUAAGCUACUUCAAGUUGAUGAAUUACAAUCACUCUUGUGUACAAAGGAAGGUUCACCUCCUCCUUGCCCCGAACUCCACUCGGUCAAGUCAGGACGUUUUACUAUCCCUCAGGACAACCCUCACAGAGCUACACUCAUGAAAGAUUCACUCACAAAUGAAAAGCUUAAAAUGAAUCUCACACCACUAAGACUACAAAUCUUCGUUGAAGAGUAUUUUCUCACUAAAAUCACUCUAGAUCUUUUGUAUUUUCAGUGUGCAAAAGUUAUUUGAAAUAUCUGACCAACCACUAUUUAUAUAGGAUCAAGAAAGUGCCUCAUUAGUGCUUCCAACGGAUAGAAAGUAGCUGAAGAGUCAACUAGCCGUUGGAGUAUCGGACGUCCGAUGCUUGUGUCCGAUACUGUCGGACGUCCGAUUCUUGCGUCCGACAUCAGGCAGUGAGUUUGAAAAAUUUUCUUCAAUUCUAUCGGACGUCCGAUAGGCUGGUUUUCUGCGUCCGAAGGUAUGAUGUAAAACUGAGAAUUUUUCUUCAAUUCCUUAGAACAUCCGGUAGGCUGGUUUUCUGCGUUCGGACGUCCGAUUCAGUCUUUUUGAGCGUCUGACAACUUUCAGCAACCUUUGUUUUCUUUCAAUUGCACUUGUUUAUGGAAUCAAAUAACUUCAUAACUAAAAGUAUAUCUUGAAGAGAUAUUAGUAUCAUCCAUUUGUUUUAUAAACAUCAAAAGAUAGGGAUCAAGAUCAACAUUCUCCCCCUUUUUGAUGAUGACAAAACAAUGGAUGGAAAGAAACAAAAAUAAGUAUAAGCUCCCCCUCAAUCAUUGCAUCCAAAACUUUCAAGAGUCAAACUCGUAAUCUCAGAAUAACUCCCCCUUACUCAUUACAUCUAUUUCUCCCCCUUUUUGUCAUCAUAAGAUGAGAGUAAAAAUCAGCUACCAUAAUUCAACAACAAUAACAAAGAAUCCAAUAUUUCAAGUAAAAACAGAGAAAUGACAGCAAUAACUAUUAUAUCACAGAGAAUUGAUAUCAAAAGGAGUAUCAAAAAGAGAAAUAACAAUCAAAAUAAUUAUCAGACCAAAUCAUCAUUAGAUCAGAAUUGUUCUUUACUCUCUUUUUAACAUCAUACAGAUCCAGUAAUAUUCAAAAAAUAUCAGCGAAAACUCAGAUCAAAGUAUCAGAAAUAUCAAAAGAAAAAAAACAUAAUGAACAAGAAUUACUGCAAUGAUUAAUAAUAUCUCCUACUUGUUAAAGUUAACAUCAUGUCUAACUAUCCACAUGCAUUUCAUGCCUUUUUUUAUAUUCUUUCUCACAUAGCAAUCACUUUUCAUGUGACCUUUUUAACAACAGAAAUUACACAUAGUUAUUGGAUCAAUCAAAUGAACAGGUUUAAUAAAUCUGACUUGCCUUCUCCUGUAGAUAUUAAACUCAUUUUUGCUAUAAUUCAAUCUUGUCUGAUGAGUAUUAAGAUGAGGUUCAGUGUCAUUCUUUUGAAGGCGGUUCUGUUUUAUAUAUUGCAACAAUUGACAUAAAUCAUCCAUCCUCCUUUUUAGACUGCAUUGUUCACUUCUGAGUAUGUUACAGAGUUUUGUCCUUUUGUUAAGUUCAGCAAGCACAUCAGUUUCAAUCCUCUUCAGGUUUUCAUUUUCAUGCUUAAGACCCUUGUUUUGUCGAAAAAGAUUUGCAUUAUCUUGUAAUAGAAAGCUAACUUUCUGUUUUAGUUCCUUGUUUUUAACAUAGGAUUCUUUCAAGCUGUUAUGCAUUUUUUCUAGAAAAGAAUUAACAUCUUCAUCGGAUUCACUAUCACUAUCAGUUUGAGAGUUGCAUUGAAUUACCUCUUCAUCUCCAGUGGUCAUGAAAGCCACUUGAGCAGAUUACUCUUCUUCCUCAACUUCACCUUCUGAGUUGCAAUCAUUCCAGGUGAUCUGGAAAUUGUUGAACUUUGGUUUUCGUUCAACCUUGUUCUCUUUCUUUUUCUUCAUUGGACACUCAUUUGCAUAAUGUCCUGGUUGGCCACAUUCAAAACACUUGUCAGUUUGCUUUUUGUUGAAUUCCAGCUUUCCUUUAUUUCUGAAAUUAUUGGACUGAUUUGGAAAGGAAUUGCUAUGUCCUCCUUUUCUGAAUCUCCUCUUGUUGAGUAUUCUUUUGAAGCCUCGUGUGAUGAGUGCAAUAUCACUAUCAUCACAUUCCAUGUCAUCUUCACUCACGGAGGCUGUAUCAUCUUCAUCUUGUGAAGCUUUUAAAGCAAUACUCUUUCUCACCUUUGUACCUUCUUCCUCCUGCACCUUGAACUUGAGUUUCAGCUCAUAAGAAAUUAGAGAGUUAAUAAGAGAUUCAAUGGGCAAGGUAUUUAGAUCUUUAGCUUCCUCAAUAGCAGUCGCUUUACUCUCCCAAUCCUUCGAUAAGGCAUUCAGAAUUUUUCUGUUUUUCUCACCUAGAGAGUAUUCUUUUUCCAGCACCUCCAAAUCCUUAAUGAGGUCAUUAAAUCUACAAUACAUCUCAUCAAUGUUUUCAUGAGAUUGCAUCUUGAAGGAUUCAUACUUUGUAACCAGAAUAGACUUCUUUUGUUCUCUAACAUUCUCACUACCUUCAUGAAAUUCUCUCAAUUUAUCCCAAAUUUCCUUGGCUGACUUGCAGCCUUUGACUCUAGCAGAUUCAUUUGAAUCUAAGGCACAAUAUAACACAUUCAUGGCUUUUGCAUUUAAGGUGAGAUGAGCUCUAUCCACAGCAGUCAGUUCACUUCUUAUUUUUGGUCUAGAUGUAUGAGUAUUUUCAUCUAUAAAAGAGGUAUCAUAUGGACCUUCACUAAUAAUAAGUCACAAUUCAAUAUCAAUUGAUUGCAAAAAGAUAAUCAUUCUUUCUUUCCAACUCACAUAAUUUAAACCAGUAAACAUGGGUGGUCUAAUCACAGAAUGUCCUUCAAAAAAUAUGACAUUGUUGGUUGUCAUUUUUACUCCCAAGCCGAUUGAUGUGAGAACCCGUUUUGCCCUAAUAUUUUCCUAGGGUUUAUUUUCCCCUUAAUUGCAUGUUUUCUGCAUUUUCUGGCUUAGAAAUAUUUUCUUAGUGGAUUUUAUGAGUAAUUAUAGUUUUUAGAUGAAUUUUCUAGUAUUGGAGAGUUUUUAGAAAAUUAAGAAUAUAUAUUGGACGUGGGACCCACUAGUGCGAAAGGUACGGGAAAAUUCGGCCAAUAAGGUUAAGUUUCGGAUACUGUUAGAAAUUUAUCGGGUGUUAAGUGAUAAGUAGAGUGUGUGAAGUGAUUGAUGUGAGAGAGAAAAGAAAGAUAAGAAUGCAUUGAUGAAAGUGCCACAUGUCAUCUUCUCAUUGGUUGUACCUUAAGAAUUACUAUUCACCUUUUGACAAUUUUUUUGACUUUUACCACUUGAGUUAAAUAUCUCAAAAAUUACAAAAAAACUCACUCUUCUCUCUUCCCUCUUGGCCGGCCAUCCCAAGCUCCACAAGGAAGAAAGCUCUUCAAAUUUUAAGCUUCCACUUGGUGCAAAUCAACCAAAACCAAUUGUUUCCAUCCAUUUCACUCCAUAGGAACUUUGCUUCUAGUGUUAAUAAGUGUACUAGUGAAGUUGUUUUGAAGCUCUAAGGUGGCCAACCUCUCUAUCUUUCUUGUUUCUUGGUAAGUGUUGCUUGAACACUCUACUACCUCUAAUAAUGGUUAUAUGAUGCUUAGAAGUGGCAUGAGUGUGAGAAAAUGUGAUUUGUUUCUUGAUUUGAAGAGUUUUGGUGAAGUUUUCAUUUUAUUGAGAAUUUUUCUGGUUUAAUAUGAAAUGAAGGUUGUGGCUUUGCAUGAUGAAUGGUAAUGGUUGAUGAUGACUCUAUGAGGUGUAUUGGAUAGGAAAAUGCAAUCAAUUUUGGAUUUGGUGUGAAAUUGAAAAGUUAGGGUUCUUAAUUCCCAAAUUCUGUCCGGUUUUUGAUCAUAGGGUUAGAGGCCGAAUUUGACUUUGCUUAAAACAUGAAAGUUGUAGGUAUUGAUGUGAUGGAGAUACCUGUAAAAUUUCAGAGCAUUUGGAUUAGUGUGGAGUGAGUUAUGACGAAAUUACUGUAGCUGUUCUGCUUUGGACAGAAUGCGAAAACUGCGAUAGUAAUUGGCUAUUUUGACUGGAAUUGGUUUGGAUUUUGGAGUUGGUGUCUUCUGAUGAAAUGUAGCUGGAUGACUUAGCUAACAUAUGCCUUUGGAAUUUCGGCAAUUGGACUUGUAUGGACUGAGAUAUACUGAUUACAGUUUUUGGUGAUUUGCAAACCUGUUUUGGUAAUUCUGGUUUAGUAUUUUGCACUUUUGACCUAGUUAAGCUAGGAACUGGAUUGAGUGCCCUUCUACAUUGUUGUAGCCCUGUUUCAUAGCUUCGAAAUGGUGGGUCUUACACCCCCAACCGAUAACCGUAGUGAAUUUGACGCCAUUACCGCAUUAUAAGAUCAAACACGGUUUUUCUAUCAAGGCUUAAGUUAAGGCCAUAUUUUAAUUUCUGGUUUGCUAUCAUGCCUACUUAUGCAUGUGAAACCCUAUUGGGGUUGUGUUUAGCAUUGUUUGGUGACUCGUUCUCGAGUCUCAUUGUAUGUGUUACAUGUUCUAGGGCUUGAAGGUAGUGCUCGACGGCUUGGUGAUCGUGGUACAUGAAAAACCACUUACUUGCGUGGUGAGUAUACUACUCACUUAAUUGUUACUAUGUGGCUUUGCUAAAUGUAUAUGUGAUGCCUUGAAGGCUUACUUGGAUAUUGGAAUUGAUUAAGGUGAGGGUGUACUUGACCGCCCUCACCCCUUUUGAUAGUAUCACUGAUUGGCUACCGUUUUACUGCAUUACUGAACUUGAUAUACUGGAUACUGAAUUCCAUUCUAGGAAACUGAUUUGGUGUCAUUUGGGCGAAUGUCCAAUGGCUUCACUGUAUUACUGAGCUCAACCCCGUUUGGUAGUCAAUUGGAUCGAGCCGGCGAGGGCUUGGUCGUGAAAAUUGUCAUGCCACGGGGACUGUACUGAGGAACCUUGUGGUAAUGAGACCUUUGGUUCCGGUAUACUCGAGUAUUACCAAAAUGACUGAAUGGAGUGCGGGCCCGGUUGGGGUAUGUUGGGUGGAAGGAAUGGAAGUGAAGUGAGGUCUACGGUUUGGUACUUUCAACAUUGACGGAGGGUCAAUGAGUGUGGAUCAAGAAUGUAAGCGUGGAAAUGGGCUCUUGAGAGUCGACCGUAUCCUUUCACUGAAUUGCUUACUUCGAAAUUGCAUACUUGAAUUGAAUGGUUAUGCUUAUGUGAUCUUAACUGCUAUUGUGAUAGUUGCUCACUGAGCUUUAGCUCACUCCGUUCCAUUUGUUUUCCUUACAGGAAAAUGAAUACUUUUGGAAAAGGUUGUAAUAGUUGAAUGACAAGUUGAGCUCAUGUACAUGUAUUUUGAAUAGCUCCUUGAGGGUGAAACCCUAUGUGUUUUGUUUCACCAAUAUUUGGUGUGUAAAUGGCUAUUGUAUGUGAAUGAACUAAAUGGAUCUCUUGGUAUGCCAAUUUGGCUUGACAAUGUUGGAUUUCCAUGUAUAUAUGUUAAGUUGAUGUUUGGAUGAACUUCUGAACGUUUCGGCUUUCAAACGGCAAAAGAAAAUUUUUGACGGAAAGGCACUGGACUGAAUCCGGCCAGGAAUCCGGCCAGAAACUGGCCGGAUUGUCGGCCGGAUUGCUUGGAAAAUUUUGAAUCCGUGAAGUUGCUCACUGGACAGUAUCCGGCCAAGAAUCCGGCCGCUAAUCCGGCCAGAUUCCGGCCGGAUUCUGCUGUCCAGGUUACUAUUCAGUUUUUCGUUUUUUUUAUUUUGUUAUUUUGAUACUUGUGACCUGUCUGAGCGCACUUUUGCAUUCCCGAAACGUAUUAGAACGCGUGUAACUGCUCCGUAGUCCUGGCGAGAGCUGGGCAGACAGUCCGCUAACCCCUUUGGUUCGCCUUAGGGGAAAGUGGGGCUGUUACAAUUGAGCUUAAUCUCUAGGAGACCAAACUCUGAUACCAAUUGUAAGGAUCGAAGACAAUCAAUCAAAAAGUCAAUCGAUAAACAAUUAAAAGAUCACAAUAUAACAAUAAAUAAAUAAAAGGGAAAGAAUUUGCAAAUCAAUUAACUACCCAACUCCUCUUGAGCUUGUAGAUUAAUUCAAAUAAGCUACUUCAAGUUGAUGAAUUAUAAUCACUCUUGUGUACAAAGGAAGGUUCACCUCCUCCUUGCCCCGAACUCCACUCGGUCAAGUCAGGACGUUUUACUAUCCCUCAAGACAACCCUCACAGAGCUACACUCAUGAAAGAUUCACUCACAAAUGAAAAGUUUACAAUGAAUCUCACACCAUUAAAACUACAAAUCUUCCUUGAAGAGUAUUUUCUCACUAAAAUCACUCUAGAUCUUUUGUAUCUUCAGUGUGCAAAAGUUAUUUGAAGUAUCUGACCAACCACUAUUUAUAUAGGAUCAAGAAAGUGCCUCAUUAGUGCUUCCAACGGAUAGAAAAUAGCUGAAGAGUCAACUAGCCGUUGGAGUAUCGGACGUCCGAUGCUUGUGUCCGAUACUGUCGGACGUCUGAUGCUUACGUCCGACAGCAGGCAGUGAGUUUGAAAAAUUUUCUUCAAUUCUAUCGGACGUCCGAUAGGCUGGUUUUCUGUGUCCGAAGGUAUGAUGUAAAACUGAGAAUUUUUCUUCAAUUCCUUAGGACGUCCGGUAGGCUGGUUUUCUGCGUCCAAAGAUACUCAAUGGUUGUCGGACGUCCAAUUCAGUCUUUUUGAGCGUCCGACAACUUUCAGCAACUUUUGUCUUCUUUCAAUUGCACUUGUUCAUGGAAUCAAAUAACUUCAUAACUGAAAGUAUAUCUUGAAGAGAUAUUAGUAUCAUCCAUUUGUUUUGUAAAUAUCAAAAGAUAAGGAUCAAGAUCAACACCUUCCACCUGCGAAAUUUGCAUCGAACCCAUAAUUUCACCAACCCAAUUAUUCAAAAGCCCAAACAAUGAAAAAUGCGGGCCCCACCCAUUCUGCAAAUUGUCAACCAUAACAACUAUACUACUUCCAUGGCGGUAAAAAUCACAAAACCUCAAGUCUCCAAGAGUGGAAUCCCAUGUUUGAAAGAGAAGCCUAGCCACCUUAGGCAUGCAUGUUUAGAGUAGAAAUAGGAAUUCCCUCUUCCAGACUCACUGACACAAUAAGACAAAAUCAAAGCAUCUCAAGGAAGGCUGAAGAGUUAACGAAGGCAGAGGCAGCAGCCAAGUUGAGGGAGCAAUGGUGACUAGAGGAGAAAGCUAAGGCUCUGGAGGCACUAGAGAGGAAAAAGAGGAUCGCAGAAAAAGCGCAAAUGAGGGCUGAAUUACGAGCACAGAAAGAAGCCAAGCUCAGAGACAAGGUAAGAAAUUUUGAAUUUCCAAUUCAUAUGCCUGAGUAAGUGUGCUUUUCUUCACUUGGCUUUCCAUCAAUGAUGUCCAUUUGAUUUGUCUAGGAAAGGGAGAAGAGGUUGAGGAAGAAGGCCGGUGGAGCAGAAGUUCCCGAUGGAAACGAUAUUGGGGAAUGCACUCCAAAAUCUGAAAUCGUACCUGGAACAAUAAAGGAAUCUGAGGUUAAGUACUGUUUUCCUACCGUUACCAAAAGAUCUCAAAAACUAUCAGUUGUGGUGAAGCAAAGCAAGACAAAAUCUAUCCCUCCGCCACUUAGGAACAGAGGUAAAAGAAAAAUGCAGCAGUGGAUGUGGAUAAUUUUGACAUGCGUGGUUGUUAUUGCUCUGUUCUUGCUGGGAAACAUUGGCUUCUUCUCCAAUCUUUCAAAUUUUAGGCCGCGGAGCCAUAGU